GUUGCCGUCGGUUCUUGUAUGCUAUCUUACUAUUGUUACCACUAUCCAGUAAAGCACUUGACUCCUGAGCAAUGGAAAUUUAGAACUGAAUUAUAUGAGCCCGUGAUGUAUCCUUUAUUCUUGAAAUUUGAACUACAUUGAAGUUUGAUUAGUUGCUAGCUAUUGAAUAAGGAACUUUUUUAUUGUUGUGUUAGCAGUUGCGCCCAUACAUUUCUUUAGCGAUGCAGGAAAGAGAGAAAGCCUGCCAUUAUACAGAAUGUGUCCUUUUUUAUAUAGUGGAAUCGAGAGUUUACUUUACCUUUCUCUGUUUACCUUUCUCCAUUUAUAAUUUUUCUAAGCUGCUAUGGGGUAGGCAUCCAGUGGCACAGCGAGGAAGUGCACUUCUGUACUACUCCCUCCUUCCCAUUUUACUUGUCAUAUUAGCAAAAUCACACAUACCAAGGAGCAAUAUGAAACGCUAGAAAAUAGGAUCCUGAGUAUUAAUCGUGUGGUUAUAAAUGCUUCCACUUUUCCUGCGCCUCCUCUGCGCACGCACGCAGCUCUUAACCAAUGCAUGCAGCCCACAAAUUGCUCCUGGCCGCUAAUUGCCUGCAUGCCGCCUCCCUCCAGCCAAGUUUCUUGCUGCUCUUCACCAAAGAAGUUAAUGAGCACAUAGGCCCAGACUAGUACGACACAUAAAUUGGGAAAAAUACAAAAAUCUAAUACAGCAUUUAAUUUGGGAAGGAGGGAGUAGUUAGUACCCAUAUAUAGGUGAAGUUAUGGACUUCAUAUGUGAUACGUUUUUGGUUUUGAUUAAUAGACUUGUUUUGAACAUUGCAAAUUUGCAGCUCAUUUCAACUGAACCUUUGCAGCUGUAUCCAAGCUGUUCCUUUUAUUUCAUAUGUAAUUUAGAUGAUUUGCCAUAAUUUUUAUUUGUUUUUUCCUGCGCAGAAUGUGAUGCCCUGUAAUGCCAAAAAGCUACAAGAAGCUAUAAAUAAUGGCUGUGGAAUUCAUCCCGGUGCAACACACUACAAGGUUAACAAAAACAUGUAUAAAUUACAGGAUGACCGUUCCAAACGGCGUGCCAUUGCUAAGAUGUUACCUGCUUCUAGAGGAUCAAUUUCUCAACCUGGGAAAGAUCCUAAAUGUGAAUUUGAAAGCAAAGUUGUAUAUCGACAUCUUCAAGAUGGUGAUAUUGUACUUGUCAACAGACAGGUAUAAAUAUUUGAUAGCAAGGUUGCCAUUCCAUUUUCUUCAGGAAAAACUUCUCCAGUCUCAUUUAGGUGUUGUUUUAACAAAGUAGUUUUUCAAAUGUUGUUAUUACUUUUUCUAGGCAACUUUUGCAUGCAAAUGCACAUAUUUGUUACUUAUUUGCAGCAAAGUUAUAAAGAUGUAUAUGCAAUUAUUAGGUUCAGGCGGGCACCACAUGCAAAAUAUUUGAGGCAUUAAUUCCAUCACUCCUCUAUGUACAUAGAGCUAAACAAAUAAAUUUAAAUUGGGCCUAUGAAGAUACAGGCAAAACAAGGCUUUCAUCUUAAAUGGUUUUAUUUAAAUUUUGAGAUGACAUUAAGUAGAUCAGGUCAACUGCAGUUAUGCAUGGGAUUAAAGCCCAUGACCUGUAGCGCUACUUGUCAGGCUAGAUCAUUUUGACUUGUCAGUUCAGGAAGUGAUUCAAUGUAAAGUCAAGACGUGAACAUUGCAGUGUAAAAGCAAACUUGUCACACCACCACUUUGCUAUCGAUCAUACCGCUUUAGGAUUUAGUGACAGCAUAACACAGCUUACAUAGAUCUUCAGUGAACUGACUGUCAACAUCUCUAAUCCCUCUGUUUGCUGUUUGAAGCCUACUCUUCACAAGCCCAGCAUGAUGGCCCAUUUUGUUCGUGUAUUGCCUGGAGAGAAGACAAUUCGAAUGCACUAUGCCAAUUGCAGGUAUUUGGAUAUGUUCUUGUAAUUUUCUUUUGCCUACAUCACAUGGUCAAAUAAUUAUGUCACUUUUUAGCACAUACAAUGCUGAUUUUGAUGGUGAUGAAAUGAAUGUGCACUUCCCGCAAGAUGAGAUAUCUCGUGCUGAGGCCAUGAACAUUGUUGAUGCAAAUAAGCAGUACAUUGGUCCAAGGAGUGGGGAUGCUGUCAGAGGUCUCAUUCAGGUAAUAUCAUGUAUAUGCAGUUGUGGUAUUUUGUUUUUCUGUACACUUUCACCAUUGAACAACCGGUAUUGACAUAUCCACUGGUUUUUAGUCAUAUCAAUUGUUACAUGCAUCGAACGAUAAUUAGAAAUUGUUUUUUUGUAGGACCACAUUGUUAGUGCUGUGCUUCUGACUAAACUGGACACAUUCAUAAGCCGUGAGGAAUACAGUCAGCUUGUAUAUGGGUCUUGUGUGUCCUCAACUCGUAGCCCUUGUCAAUCUGGUAAAAGGGUAUCUGUUAUGAAGGAUGGUGACAUAUUGGAACUUCUUCCUCCAGCUAUUUUGAAGCCAAAACCACUAUGGACUGGAAAACAGGUUAGUGUUUAUACGAUGAAACUCGUGUCACUAUUGAUCUUAAUCUUGACAUUGCUUAAAAUUCAGCUGUCUAAGUUUUCUUUUUGUUACAGGUCAUAACAACCAUCUUGAACCAUUUAACAAAAGGUCACCCGCCAUUUACUGUUGAGAAGAAAGGGAAAAUUCCAGUAAAAUAUUUAAUACCUAAAGAACGCCAUGGUGAUAAAGAUAACGCUAAAGAUUCUGAACAAGUUCUGUAUAUUCAUGAUAAUGAGCUUAUAAAGGGCAUGAUAGAUAAGGACCAGUUCGGGAACUACGGGAUAGUUCACACGGUUUAUGAACUAUAUGGUGCAGAGACAGCUGGAAGACUGCUAUCAAUAUUCAGCCGUCUGUUUACAUUAUUCUUGCAGGUGACCUUGAAAGCAUAUUUUUUUUUCUAUCUUUUCAUUAUAGGUGGGGUGUAUAACUGGUGGUCUAGUAGCAAUAAUAGAUAGUACCCCUACCUCUACUCUUUACUCUUUCUUGAAUUUGUUUCAACUGAAGCAGUUGUAACAAUUAAACUCUCUAGUAGCAACAAAUUGUACUCCUAGACCUAGACGUGCUUAAGUGUUUUGGCAAAUAAAGCAUUAUCGAACUUAUGACCAAGCUAUUCAUGAUUCUCAUGUUUGGUCAUCAGAUGGACUGACUAGUCUUUAGUUACCCUUUUUUUUUAAUUUGAGACUUUACAGCUUCAAUACUCAUGACCAGCAUGCAGCAGAUAAUGGCAAUAUCACCAGAUAAUUUGCCUUGGAAAUUCAUUUAGAUGGGCCGAAAUGAAAAGGAAAGCUGAUUUGCACCUGCAUCCAACCCACUCUUGAGCUGUCUGCUUGAACCAUAUAGCACUGUCAAGAGGCAAACUUAAAACCUUAAGUCCUGCAGUGGAUCAUGUGAAAACAAAUACCCAGCUGCGACAGCAGCACGAUACAACUUUUGUGUUGCCUAAGCAAUGGACACUAGUUAUUUGAUUGAAAUGUGGUUGCCCAAUUCUACUUUAUUCUAUUUUACUUUGCAUAUUUAAACUUGUAACACAAUACGGUUUUUUCUGAGGAAUUAACACCAUACUGUCACAUGAUUCCCCUAAUAUCUUUUACUCCCUCCGUUCCAUAAAGAUUGGCACGGAUUUGAACUGGCUCUGUAUUCCCUAAAAAAACAUAUUGUUCGGUCACUUAAUUCUCAUUCAGUUCUCUAAUUUCCUAACGUUUGGAGUAGUGAAACCAGGAGAUCAUACUGGAACAUUAUGUUAAGUGUUAACCAACCUGUUCUCAUCUCUUAAAUCAUAGGAUUGACCUCUACUAACAAGUACCAUCAUAUUAGUGUAAUUUAUACUGUUCAUCUUGAUACUAGCACUAGAUCAGUAGAUAUCUCUUGAAGUAAUCUCUACCAAUAUUGCUCUAAGUAACUGUGGAUUAUCGAAAAUGGUUUGCCUGCCCAUUAACCGUGGCUGCAAGUUAAUGGAAUGCCAGGGUUCCUCUAAAAAAUGUUUUGCCUGCCUGUCUGGAUUUCUUUUGAGUAAUUUGGUGCUCAUCAUUCACUAUGUUUUAGACAAAAGUUUUCCACCCCAUGGUGUAAGUCAUUGAAAGAACGGAAAAGAGCUCAGCAUUCGGGGUUUGGUUGUGUUUCUGUUCUUUGCUCCAUUUGGGAGGAGAGUAGAGACAUAGAAGAGAGAAACGGAACUUGGUAGCUGGUGGAAGCUCGGUGUGGCAGCAGUUUGCUCACAUCAGGUCGUUACUUAACCGUUUUGCAAAGGUGGUUUUAAGGUUCAGUUGGUUAAGUAGCCCUAGUGCCAACGGGGGUGAUGUGAACUUUUUCUUUGUUUUUAACAGUGCCCUACUCUCAUGUGGCUUUGGUAUACUGUCAUUAGUUGGGUUUUGCCCUUGUUUCUUCGUAUUGUAUUUUUUUUUAUUUGCGAUUAUGUAAUACUAAGAGAAAUUAUUUUUUGCAGUUACAUGGAUUUACUUGUGGUAUAGAUGAUCUGCUACUAUUCCAAGAAUCCGAUAAGCAGAGGACAGAAACUCUCAUGACAAGUGAGAAAUGCAGUGAAGAAGUCCACAGGAAAUUUACAUGCGCUGGAGAUUAUGACGAAGGUCUGUUGAGUUUUAUCUUUACAACCAAUACUUUUUGCUCAAUCAUAAGUCCAUAAAGAUCUAUUGUGAAUGGCUCUGAGGACAGAUAUUUCAUCUGUUUAUCUGAGGGCAGAUAGUGAGGGUCCUGCUGAUAUAUUGAAUACACUGCUGACACAUGCUAAUAAGUCAAAGGAAGUGAAGAAAAUAAUAUUUUGCAACUCUGAAGGAUUCACAUCAUCCUAAGUUCCUAAUGAUGAAGAAGAAAACAGGAAAGCACUGAAUAUGGGUACAAGGGCAGAGACUCUUAUGUAGCUAACAGAGUAAUAAUUACUCCAAAAAUUACUACCCUUUCCUGGAGACGUUCUUAGUCCUAGUAACUUGAUCAUCUGUAGCCCUCUGCUGUGAUAUCGGCCUAAUCAGGGCGUAACACGGUGGCCAAGCAGAAGCAGUGGCCUGUACAUAAUAUGCUUUAACGGGUUAGAUAAUGGUCCGGAGAUUGGAUGAUAGGUCACCUGCCCUCAUCAACCCGUGGCAGGCCUCGCCCCUUUCGUGGAAAAGUGGCUCUGAGGCUUAAGAACUUCUGAUUUAUCUAUUGCAUGAAUAAAAAGGAUUACACGCUGGUCUAGUUUGACUCGAUUUGUACCACCACAAAUUCUAUCUCUUUCCUAAUUAAACUUAUCUCCUUGUCUAAUAUGAAAAUCUUCCCUAACAUACUUAUGUGUACCUAAUAAUAUUAGAUGAUGAUUAUUGAUUUUACAACCCUAAUAGCCUGCUUUGCUUCUAUGAUCGGCCGGGCUACGUCUUUAGCCCAUAAAAGCAGCCUUGAUGUUUGUACCUUAUAAAUUGGAGUCACUACCUUGUUAUAUCAGCUAUUUUUGUGCAGAUCCAUUGAAAUUGCAAAUGGAGGUUGAAAAGGUUGUGCGGAGGAUUGGAGAAUCCGCGACCGACACGUUGGAUAAAAUGAUGUUAAGUGCUCUAAAUGGGUUACAAUCUGAGGUCAAUCGACGCUUGUUUCCCUAUGGGCUACAAAAGCCUUUUCCUAGAAAUUGUCUGACUCUUAUGACUGCAACUGGAGCUAAAGGUGGCGAGGUAAAUUGGAUUUUUCAGUAGGGAACAGAACAAUGUCCUUGUAAAUAUUCUGUUAUUUAAUAUAUUUACUGUCGGAGCCUCUCCUACAGUUUUUUUUUUCAAAAAAAAAAACAGAACAAUGUAAAUGUUCUGUUUAAAGUGAACUAUGUGUUGGACGCACAGUUACAAACGUGAACUGCAACAUUACCUACUUGGCCUAACAUCUUGCCACUUCAUUUGUCUUGCUAGGUUAACAUGACACAAAUCACGUCAUUGCUAGGCAGCCAAGAUUUAGAAGGAGCGCGUGUUCCACGAAUGAUAUCUGGGAAGUCAUUACCUUGCUUUCCACCUUGGGAUACUUCUUCAAGAGCUGGUGGUUUUGUCAGUGACAGAUUUUUAACUGGUCUGCGCCCUCAAGAGUACUAUUUCCACUGUAUGGCCGGCAGAAAUGGGUAAGCUUUGUUUCCAAGCAGGCAUUUAGCUCUUAAAUGGGUAUCAAUUUAGAACAAGCAUACUUGGCUGUUGGCACUAUUAGUUAGAAAUGGAGAUAAGCGAGUUGUACAAAUGGUCUAAUUUCUUCCUGCUAUAAAUCAUUCGCUCCUAUGUUGUUAUGUGAGAUAGUGUUGGGAGCACACGAAAUAAUGUUACUUCCACACAACAUUACAUACUCUCUCUAUCAUCUGUCGUUUGGAAGUAAUUACAAUUACGUUCCAAGAUCACACAGUAGUUCUGGCUUGCAUCGGUGCCUCAAUCUUCAGAAUUUUUUAACUUGCUCCCUGGACACCAAGGCUCUUUGUAUUUCAGUACUUAAUAAACUUGCUAAUUUGUUGCUAAGAGGGGUAGAGGACGACCUAAGUUAACAUGGGUGGAGGCAGUUAAAAGGGACCUAAAAGACUGGAAUGUGUCCAAAGAUCUGGCUUCUGACAGGGCUGCAUGGAAAUCUUCAAUCCAUGUGCCUGAACCUUGAUUAUUUCUUUGUUUUUCUGUUUACUUUUAGUUUCCACAAAUUUCUGUUUGGGUUUCAUAUCUAGCCUACCCCAACUUGCUUGGGACAAAAGGCUUAGUUGUUGUUGUUGUUGUUGUUGAAGUCUGUUGGAACUAUAUGAAAUUUAUUCUACACCCAUCCAUUAUCGCCUUCUUUUGCAUGAUUUGCAAUUAUCGCCAAUUUUGUGUUUGCAGACGGGGAAUUGUAUUCCCUCACUGAAAAAACUCAUAUGACAGUGACAAGUUUCAUGCCACUCAAUUCUCGUUCUUACCAUUGUAGUUAGAUGUAUUUUCUCCUUAGAGUCAUCCAUUAUUACCUCUGUACUGGAUUUUGUUGUUAUGAUAUUUAGCUUGGUUAUGUUCAUUGCAGGUUGAUUGACACAGCAGUCAAGACAUCGCGUAGUGGAUAUCUUCAGCGUUGUCUUGUCAAAAGUCUUGAAUCAUUGUUUGUGGCUUAUGAUCACACUGUGCGUAAUGUUGAUGGAUCAAUUGUACAAUUCCGCUACGGAGAAGAUGGAGUUGAUGUCCAUAAAAGUAACUUUCUCGAUAAGUUCCAGGAUAAAGACAUGUUUAAAGAACUUGCUGAUGUAAGACACUUCAGUUACCAAUUAAGUAGCCAAAUUAACUUUGUAGUAUGCCUUGGUCUAUGCAUUUGUUUGAUCGGACUGAUAACUGUUUGCAAUUUGUUCCAAAUUACAGAAUAGAAAAGCUGUCCUUGACAGGCUUGGUAGAUACACUGGUGAUCACAUGUCAUUGCAGUCCAAUUACAUCACUGAACUGCCUGAAGCACUCACUGACCGUGCAACGAAAUUUCUCUCAAAAGAUAAGGGGCGCUGCCGGCAUGACAUCAAGGAGGAUGAACUAAUGAAUUUACUAAAAGCCAAGUACCUGGCUAGUCUUGUAGAUCCUGGUGAAGCUGUUGGUGUGAUCCUUGCCCAGUCUUUAGGAGAACCCUCGACACAGAUGACGUAAGAGCAUUUCUAUACAUCUGUUUUCAUUUGAUGAACUAUAGCAAGACACACGUGCGUUGCUACGGAAUAAAAAGACACAAUACCUGUUUAAAAGAAUGUUCUACUAUCAUUUGCUUUCUCAUAUAAAUUAAUACAUACACACCAACAUCUUGAUGUUUUGUGUCUUAUCAAAUGGUGGUGCGGUCUGAAGGUGACAGACCACCUUGUGUCCAUAACUUCUAUUCCUUCCGUUCCAUAAUUUUUGUCAAAAUAUUACAUGUAUCUAGACGCUUUUUAGGAACAGAUACAUCCACUUUUGAGCAAAUUUGAGACAAGAACUAUGGAACGGAGGUAGUAUAUAUCAACUCCAUUUUUUUUUUGCUUCUAGAUAUAUUGCAUUUUUUUUUAUCUGGUGACUCUUUUAAAAGUAAUGUAUACAUUUUCUGUCAUGCCCUGCAGGCUCAACACUUUUCAUUUUGCUGGAAGAAGUGACGUGAAUGUCACACUUGGGAUGCCUCGGAUACAAGAAAUUCUAAUGAAAGCAUCAGCAAACAUUGCUACGCCUGUUAUGAUGUGUCCUCUGCUUGAAGAUGUGACUUGGUGGGAUUUAUUUGUUUUUAUUUUGAUGAUUCUUUAUACUUUUUAGUUUAAAAUUCAUGCGUAGUCUAUAUCAAGCAUUCCUGUAUGAGAAGUAAAAGAGGAUCUCAACCAAAGUGUACUCAAUUCUGUCACCGCACUAGCAAGAUACAUGCACCAAUUCUACUUUCCUGUAAAAGAUCUCAGUCAAACUAGACUCAUAUUUUCAGCAUUCCAGCAAGAUACUUGCACUAAUUCUUUCAACCUGUGGACAUUUAGGGAUGAUGCUGAACGUCUUGCCGCAAAAUUGAGGGGUGUUCGGUUGGUUGAUAUUGUGGAGGGAAUCGAAGUAUGCACAGUUCCUUUUUACAACAAUAAUGGGUAUGUUUCGAGUCUCUAUAAGUUGCAGAUAAAACUAUUCCCACCAGAGCGUUACCCUCCUCAGUCUGAGCUUACAGUAGAUGAGUGUCAAACAGCCUUGAGAACAGUGUUUGUUGAUUCAAUGGAAUUUGCAAUCGAAAAACACCUAAAAUUGCUAUACAGAGUUAGUGGAAUCCAGGAAACUAGGGUAAAAGACACUGAGAGCUCACUAUCAGAAGGUCCUGAAGAAUCUGAAGGCCGACCUAUCGACGGGGAAGAAUCUGGUGCAAGUGAUGGUGAUAAUGAAAAUGAGGAUGACUUGGGAACUGAUGGAGAAAAGAGGAAACGUCAAGAGAAUGAUGAGAUGGAGUAUGAUGGUGAAGAUGAUGUUGAAAAGGAAGAUGGUAUGAACAGUGACCCUGAAGAAGAGACAAAAUAUGAACUUGAUAAUGAUGAUGAUCUAGUUGAGUCAGGCGGAGAAUCAGAAGUGAAUGACGAAGGACAUGUGUCAGAUUCCAGUAACAAGGUAGGCAAAUUAGAAGGUAAGCUUGCAGCUGGUAAACUCAAGAAGGAAGUAAAUAAAACCGUGGAAAACUUGGAGGAGCAGAAGCAGGCACAAAAAGGAGUGAAACGCACCAAGUUAAGCCGCACUGUCCAUGUUGAAAGCACAGGCUUAAAUUUUGAGGUUCACUACCUCUUGUUGCACAACGAACCCCAUAUUUUGCUAUCCCAGGUACCUCGCCAUAAACAGAAAAAUUUACAUUAUGCUUUUCUUUUAGAGCCUGGUAAUUGAAUGACAUAACUCAAAAGUAGUUCCUUUCUGAAAAUGUGUUAUUGUGACUACACGAUGGCUUCAUGGGGAACUUGUAUCAUGAUGCCCACUGUCUGCCAAUUGAAAUGCUUGGGCCUGUAUGCUUGUGAUCUGAACUUUCCUUGCGCUCUUCAAUUUUUUCACUGCAAGCAGCUGCUGCUGCCACCAUUUAAAUUUAGUCAAUACAUUGUUUUAGUGAGUAACGGCAUGGCAGUAAUUUAUUUGUGUCUAAUAAACUUAAGGGGGAACAGUAUGAUUUUUUAGGGCCAUUAGUAUUGGCUAGGAUCAUGAUUGUUUGGAUGUAAAAGUUUGUAGAAACUUCUGAUCAAAAUUCGGGAUAUUAAAAAACUGGGCUGGGCUCUGUGUGAGGCCUUGUGGCCCUGGGAUAAUAAUCCCAUAACGGGGUGUUUUUAAGUUCACUCUUUUGACAACACGGUAUAUUUGAUCUAUAUUGCAUUUUCUGUCAUUAUAUUAUAUACGUCUGAACAAACAAACAAAAAAUCUAAUAGAAGAUACAUUUUAAUUUUCCUUUCCAGAUUGCCCAGAAGACAUUGCGGUCCCUAUUUGUCAAGGGAUCCCAUAACAACAAAAUUGAUCAAUGUAAAGUUGUUUGGCCAGAGAAGAAAGGUGAUUUCCGAGGACUGAAGACGGCAGGAGUGAACUUUGAUGUAUUCUGGGGUCUGCAGGACUACCUCGACAUCUGUAAGGUUGCGUCGAAUGACAUACAUGCAAUCUUGAGGACAUACGGGGUGGAGGCUGCCAGGGCCACCAUCAUCAAGGAAGUGAAAGCUGUUUUUGAACCCUUUGGUAUAAAUGUAAACAGAAGGCACCUGAGCCUGGUUGCUGAGUUCAUGACCUCCGGAGGUGAUUACCGAGCAAUGAGCAGCAUGGGGAUGGCCCAGUUCUGUACGUCGCCGUUUGGCAAGAUGACUUUUGAGCAAGCCACCAGGUUCAUCACGGAGGCUGCUUUUUACGGCGAGGCGGACAACCUCAAUGGCCCUUCGGCGACCAUAUCGUUGGGGAAACCGGCUAAGACGGGGACAGGUUGCUUUGGCUUGCUGCAGAAUUUUUGCUUAGAGGAGACCGCGGUCAUGUAACUGUCUCUUGUCUAUACGUUUGGUCUAUAGCAUGCAUGACUGGUCACUUGAUUUUGAGUCCAAGGAUUAAACAUACCAGUGGGUGAGAGAGGUGGUUGCUUGAUUUGAGUCCCAAGGAUUAGUUAGUGAUGUAUUCUUGUAUUGAGACUUUGGAUCUUUUUUGUAUGUCAGUUGCAUAUUCUUGGAACACGUCAAUAGGCAAAAGCCUGAUUAAUUCCGUAACACGUCAAUAUUCAGAUGAUUAAGUUGGGAUCAACUAAUAUUUACCCAGAUCAAUCUUGUCCACAGCAUGCAUAUCACAGGAGUGCACUGUCUCCUUGCAAGCUGUACGUGAUAUGCAUGCUGUACGUAGAGGAUGUGAAGAGUUGUUGCAGAAUAUGUAGAUACACAUAAAACUCACGGUCUAUAAGAGCAUUUUCCUUUCUUUCCUCCGUCCAACAAAAGAUGUCUUAAAUUUGUCAAAAUUUGGAUGUAUUUAGACAUGAAUUAGUGUAUAGAUUGACAAAUUUGGAUGUAUUUAGACAUGAAUUAGUGUAUAGAUGCAUUCAGAUUUAGUCAAAGUUGAGUUCUCAAAAUAAUGAUUGCAAACACCUUUCCUCCACUCUUAUUACAGUAAUUGACAAGGAACACAUAUAUACUGAUUGAUGUGCAUUAGCUGCUUAUUUCUUGUCUGGCAUCUUCCUUAACAGUUCACCAAGGACUUGGAAUAGAUCACCAACGAUCCCAUAAUCUGCAACCUGGACAACAGCAACAAAAACAGACAGUAAAUAUCUGGCUGUUGAUCAUCGAAGCGCAGCUCGGUCCGGGAGUGGAAUAGAACCUGAAAUAUGGGUGCAUCUGCGUCCUUGUUGACAGCCACGAUAACCUUGGAAUCUCUCAUCCCUGCCAAGUGCUGUAUCGCUCCCGAUACUCCGAAAGCAAUAUAGAGCUCAGGAGCCACUAUCUUACCAGUCUGGCCAACCUGAAGGGAAGUAUUAAGGGUUUAACCAGACAUUCUGUUACCAUGACUUAUGCCACAUAUUAUUUUGUAUUGGACUAGCUAGAUGCAAGUGCGUUGCUACGGAAUUUAAAUGUGUGUGCCCUCAUAAUCCCCAAUAUGUGCUAAAUAACAAUUAUCUCAAAAUAUGUCAGUCCAAUCAACUAUAACCAAAAGAUGUGAUAUGUAUAUCUACCACAGAGAAUGAGUGGCAAUUGCGGUGAUGUGCUAGCAACUUCGAGAGUAGUUUGGUGAUGUGCUAGCAACUAAGAUCUUUAUAAGAGUAAAGAUAAAGAUGUAUACAUUUAGAACUCAUUCAGUUACUAUUUGGUUAUACUACUCUGGUAGAUUUGAGGAGCUUACUUGAAGUUCAUUUGGCACAUAUCCUGCAUCAACAGCAGCUCGGGUCGCACCCACUACAGAAAAAAAUGUAACCAAUCCAAAUAAAAGCUGUGUACAGACUCAAGAGGACUGGAUCACAGGUUUAUAAAUACCAACCACUAGCAAUUUCUGUGGUAACAAGGUUCAAUGGACAAUUUAGUAAAAGCGCAAACCUGCUGCACCAAGUUUCUCAGCAAGCUGCUCCAACAAUUUGAAAUUCUCAGCACUUUUCAGACCUCUGCCUCCAGUGACUACCACACAUGCAUUUGCAAGAUCUGGUCGUUCUGUAUCUUGGGAUGUAAGAUUCACCCAUGAAGAUUUUCUUGAGCUUACUGCACAUCAAAGAAAAGAGUUUUACAAAUAUGUGGCAUAAUUUUAUAUGGGUAAACUGUCAUUAUGAGUACCAAAAAAACACUAAUUUCAUCAUAACAUUUUUUAACACCAGACACAACCUGUACAUCCACAAAAAAACCAAGCAUGAACGCCUACUGAAGACUGACCUAUACAUCCACAAACCAUAAUAAUUCCGUGGAAAAGACAAUCUAGUAAACUCAAUCAGUCCUUAGACUUAGAUCAAGGUCCGAGAAACAUAUGUAGUGCGAAAUGAACAAGAACAAUUCCGUAAGGUGUAAAAGGGGGUGGAUAAUAGAAGAACAUGGUGAGGAAAUUAAACAAACCUUCAUUGAGGAAAGAGAGAUCAACCUGGGUAAUGGGUGCAACUUUAGUUUCUGGCAUAGACUCAGUAGUUGGAGAAAAUGAUGUUGACCUAAUACUCAUCAUACAAGGAUUCUCUCCAGUAUAUCGUACAGUGCAAAGUGCAUUUCCAGCAUAAAUUGGCCUGAAUACAAGAGCAUGUCUUAAAUCAAAAUAUUAAAUUGCUAUGAGAUAUAGCAUUGAGUUGGCUAUGUGAAAACAUCAAGGCAGAUGAUGAUUAUACAAAGAAUAAAAGCAAACACGCCCCCAGCAUGCCCAUGAAUAUUGUUGUCCAUGCCAUAUCCAAACUGCUAAGAACAAUAGAAAACAGUAGAAUAUCGAACCUCACAAAGACCCGUGGCUCGGAUAUGGCAGUGACGUCUGUAACAGGGGAGACAUCUAGAAGAGCCGCAGCACGUGGAAGCAAAUUCUUUCCGAAUGACGUUGAAGAGGCUAUAACAUGAGAAUAUCCACCUUUCUGCUGAACAGAGCGGAGGAGCUCGGCCCAAGGUUCAGCUAACGGAUGCGCAAAUACAUCUGAAUCAGCGACAAGGACCUGCAACACAAGAGAACCAACUGAUAAACAACAGAACAUUUGCAUCCAUUCUCGCGAAGUUCUAUUCCCCUUCUCUGAACUGAAAUGCAGAACAUAGCAAAGAAAUAUGCAGUUAUGCAAACAGAUAUACAAGUUGACCAGUGCUCAAAGACUAACGCAGGGGAACGAGAGGUAGCUAGUAGUAACAAUACCUCAUUGACCAAUGGAUGGCUAGAUGCAGCAUGCUGAGCAGCCUUGUGCAGCGUUGGUCCGGAUCCCCCUAGAAGAAGAGAAACCUUGUUCUCUUUGGCAAUGGCCUCAGCAGCUGCCAAUGCGCUCAGAGACGAGGGCUUCACGAGCCCACCUUCAUGUUCCGCCACGACCAGUGUGCUCACCUAGAAGGGUAACACCAUAGUUAAGCUGUGGGGCAUAUCGACAGAGAAUGGAAUCAAAACCUUGUCCAAGUCACUUAUUCCACUUGCUAGAAUCAGCGCCAGGAAUUCAAACGGGAAGCAAAUAUUGCCUAGGAUAAAGGCCAGUGGUGGAUCCAGAUUUCCAGCAGACCCAGGGCAGACUAAUAAGGUAGGCAGCAUUCAAUUCAAUAUUCAGCAUAAUAAAGCAUAAGGCAGGUUCAAAUUGUCAAGUUCCAUGUGGUACAACUGCCAUAGCAUAGAAUGCAGUUCAGAGGCAUAAUGACAGGUAUCUACAAGACGUAAACAACACAAAUCUGUAAGAACUUGAACCUAGCACAAGUGGGAAGAUAAUUGGAAAAGGAACAAAUUAUACUCCCCGCUGAAGUCUAAUGAUAGCGUACGAAGCUUGUACAACGCUAACAAUCAAAUUUUACUUAGCACAUGCAGACAUGCUGCUAUAGCUUUUAAGACAAAUAUAACGUGCACGACACUGAAAACUGACCAAAAGAAACACAUGACGACACAAGCAGUUCGUUGCCCCGGGGUGGCUAGGCUGGCUACUAAUUGAUCCCCUUCAUCGGCCCCCGCUCUCGCUAGCGCCGUGGAGUCCGCGGCCAUGAUCGCCCGCCGCUCGCUCCGUGGCGGGCAUUUGCCCCGUGAAGGGGGCUCUCGCGAUUUGGGGAUUGGGGUCAGCGUCUCGGGGGAGAAGGAAUUUCGGCCGGCGCAAUGCCAAAUCGACCGUGGAAUCAAAAACCCUAUUCUAUCCAAUGAUGCGCCGAUGCGGCGCCAAUCGCAGCGAGUCCCCAGUAUAUUUGGGGCGAGUGAGCGUCGGGAGGAGGGAAGAGGGAAGGUAAAAAACACUCACGAGCCUGCGCAGCGACUCCCCGGCAAAGUAUCGCGCGCCGCCGCCCGCUCUUCCCCGCCGAAGCGCUCCGGCCAGCAACGCCGCCGCCAUGACCAUGAGCUCCUCCCCCUGGCCCUUCUCUCUAUCUACAGAGCAGAAAUGCGCUGAGAGACGGAACUCGUCAGCGAGGGGAGAACUGAAGAGAGCAAACGAGAGAGAGAGAGAGAGAGAGAGAGCCGUGAAGUAAAGUCUCACUGCUAGAGUUGGAUGAGAAACACGUGCCCGGAGUACGGUCGAGAUCAAACUGCCACGUCUGAUGGAAGCACUUUAAUAAUAGAUGCUUGAAACUUCGUAAUUUGCUUGGGCUCAAAAUCAAAACAUAGAAAAAAUUGCAAAACUUAGAAUUGUCGUAGGGCGGCAGUUGUCGUCUUAAGAAAUUGGUCCAACUUCAUUUCUAUGGAAAAAAGAGGUUGGACCUAAUGUUCAUUUUUCUCCAAAAACAAAAAAAUUCUAUGAGAUUUCUAAGGGAUCAUUUUGCUUGUUUCCUUUGAAACGAAUGCAUCUAUAGUGAAUUUUCUUAUGGAAUCCUGAAUCCUUUGAGUUUCCCGUGAAAUUCCUAUGGAACGAAUGAGGCCUUAGUCACAAUCGUCUCAGGAUUUGAAUUUGCUCUGAUGCCAGAGACGACGACACGCUAUGAGGAAUUGAGGAUUGGUAGCUAGAGACAGGGUUUAGUCAAAUUAAACUCAUAUAAACACAUCACAUCUAAUCUUUUUCCAUUAAUUUAACUUGCAUCCUGCUCUACUCAUGACUAAUAGGUUUUACAUAUGGAUUACCACUGGUGGGCGAAAAUCGAAAAUAGCAACUUAUGCCAUACCAUUUGAAUCAAAAAUCCAUGGGGGUUGUUAACCAUGGGUAAGAUUGUCACCUUUGUAGGUUAUGGAGAAGAUGGAUGCCGAGAGACCAGUUUUAGAAAGAUGUUCUCUAGUUGUUGUUUUUUUUUGUAAACUCAUGUGUUCGAUCUUGGUGUGUGGUAUUUUUCUUACAAAUAAAAACAUGGUUGUGUGCAUCCGAGGAUGCGAAGGCCAGGAGGUUCCUUCCCUUGAAAAGAUAAUACUUAUUUAAAAUUUCUCGGUCGUUUUCCGAAAUUUUAUUUCAUUUUUGUAACUGUGUGUUCAGGCAAGAUGCAUUGGAUGACAUCUUUUUAAAUAAAAAUAUGGUUGCGAGCAUCCAGAGAUGUACAGAGGUUUUCCCUUCCUUUUCGACAAAAAAAAUACUUAUCUGAAAUUGUAUAAUAAUGCACUUUUUCUAUAUUUUUGUCAAACUUUGAAUUAUUUUUAACUCAGGACUAGAUCAUAGUGGCAUGUAUAUGACAAGGGUGAGGAAUUUGGGAAUCCAAAAAUGACUAUGAGCCCGGAGACAGCCGCCACAAACCUGUACUGCAUCCAUCAGGUGGCAAAAUGCAUUUGAAGUGUGCUAUUACAUAAUUAUCCCUCCCUCGAUCCCAGAGAUAUUGGUUUGUGAGAGGUACCGCUUAUCAUUUAUUCCCUCUGUCCCAUAGUUCUUCUCGAAAUAUUAUAUGUAUGUAAACGUAUUUUUGAAAAUAGAUACAUCUAUUUUUGGUAAAUUUGAGACAAAAAAAAUUAUGAGACGGAUGGAGUACUAUAUUUAUCUCCUUCAAUGGUGAUCAUUUAGGCAAAUGGUGAUCUUAUACUCCGUAACAAGUAUCGUAGAUUUAAUACAACUAGAGGUGUAACAUGGCGACCCUCAAGGUAUCUUUUGACCCUUCUUAGUUCAAACAAAUGAGCUAGUUUUUCAAAAAGUUAUGUUAUUUUAAAUUUUUAGUUCAUCUGAUUAAACUAAAGAGGGUCAAAGGAUACCUGAGGAUCAAAAAUUUACGGCUCGAAGUACAACUCUAUACUAAAUCCGCGACACAUGAGCAUGUGACAACUUUGUAUAAUUUUUCCCUCGCUGUCAUCCUCAAUCAGCAAAUGCGCAAAAGCUGUUGGUGCCAGCCGGGGCCCGCCCAGCAGCUGCAUGGUGGACAGCACGACGGCCAUUUUUCGCCUCGCUGUCGCUACUCGCUAGCCUCCUAUUAUUAUUCCCCACUCCACGAAAACAACAUCCGCGAGAGCACUUUUCUAAGCAAAAAGAGGCUACCAAACGCAAUUAGGCAACGACACAACAUUUCCCUUUAAAAAAAGAAAAGAUGCAUGAUCGAUGCCGAGCCAAAUUAAGCUUCUCGUACAAUCCUCCAUACUGUAAUUACACGAGCUAAUGGGGUUGGAAUUUGCAUCUUCGCUUUUAUUUAUGCCCGGCGCACCAUGGCUCCUCGUUCCCGCCUAUAAAUACGGCCCCUCUGCCAAGCCUUGUGAAGGAAAUCUGCCCACCGCUCGCUCAUUCAGUCACUCUGCUUGCUUUUGCUAGGCCCUUUGCCUUCCUUCCUCCUCCUUUUCUUCGCCAUGAAACCCCCUCACUUCACCGGGGAAGCGGCCGCCGGCGCCUCCUGGGCUCACGAGGUCAAGCAGGCCCUCCGUGACAAGCUCCGGUGGACUGUCGCCGCCGCCAGGCCCACGUCCGCCGUCGCCGUGGCGGGCGCCGGCGCCGGCGCCGGCGCCGCCGCCGAGGACCCCAUCAGGAGAGUCAUGUUCUUGGCUCCAUGGGGUCACACAUAAAAAAAAGAAAGAGAGAAGCAAGUGCUUGCAUGCUUUGCGUUGCAUGUCGUAAUUGGCCGCCGCCCGGAUCUGCAGUUAACACCUGAAACAAAACCAUGGUAAUCCUAUAUAUAUGGACCAUGAACAUGAACUCAUCAAGGACUAAACACUAGAUCGACACUUGUGUAUAUCUAGUUCAUGUUGAUCUCUUGGCAUGGUGAGGAGAUCUUGACAAGUUCAUGUGUAUAUGGGUGCUGGGUUGAAGCGCAACAACUGCUAGCUGCAACUUAAACCUGUUUUGAUUUCUUCUUUCCUCGCCAAGAGAGUAUGUGUGUACUACCAAGAGCCUGUGAAAAGCUAUGUAAUUUAUGAGCUAGUAAAACCCUUCCUCCUUGAUCUGAUCUUACAUGCCCCGUUGUUUUUUGCCCAGUUGAUUCUGUUCAGAUAUACAUAGUGGAGUACUUGUGAAAUAUGCAGAGAAACCACGGUAAAAGCCAUGUUGUUUGUGUGAAAUACAAUCGCUUGUUUCAUGUCUUUUGAUCUUGAAAAGGUUGUUGGGAACCAGCAUGAAACAUGCUCAUGAAAUUAAGACUGGUGAUCUGAGGAGUUCAACCUGUUAAUUAAUUUAGAGGCAACUAAUACAGAACAAGUAAGCACAAAUAGAAAUAAAGGCAGACGACUUUGAAUUGGAUUUCUCUGUUCCUGUAAACUAGUGGUCUGAGAAUCCUGUUCUUGACAGGAACAAGAAAGAAAACAAAGGCAGCCUCCCACUUGCAAGUUGCAAAGGAUAGGCCAAAACCCAGGGUGGGCCAAUCCCCUUGCUUGCUUUCCAAAGCACCUUAUCUUAUCUCCAGAUAUCCACCAAGAAAUUGACAUUUGAUAUUAGCAAAAGAUAAACAAACUGCAUACUACAUGACAAAGGUGAUAGGCUUUGGUUCCAGCGUCCAGAUUAAGACACCAUAUUAUGGAGUGCUAGUGUUGUCUAGCUUGAGGCAACAUCUACCAGAAACUAAAUUUUUCAGGAGUCAUGCUUUUCAGAUGUCUCCUGCUCAGAAGGCAGAAUCAGUUCAGAGAUCUUGUGUUCAACCAUUUUUGGUUCUAGAUUUUAGCACAAAUGAUAUGGUCUAGUUUUAAUUACCAAGUAGCAGAUCUGUAUUUCGCCACGGCUUAGCAGAUUCGUCGAAGGCGACAAUAAUUCACUUUGAUACUACUAUUGUCACCGAGUUUUUAUCAUACAACAAAAAGAAAGAGCUAUGGAUUUAUUGUUUGGUAUGAUUUUUUUCUGGGUCAUGACUUUUUACAAAAAUCAGUUGGGUGCCAUAUGAAUCUCCUGAUCAUAACACUUGUCCACCAACUGCGGAAAAAAAAAGGGAGCAAAAUAUCAGAUGGCAGCAAAAGCUACACUUGUCUUAAUGCCUUUACUGAAAACGAUGGUUCAACUUCUACCCCUAGAGGGGUUCCAAAAGCCCGAAGUUUCCGGAUACCGUGUCUCUUUCGCCUCUUUCAAUCACAAGUUAAGCUAAAAUGACAUACUAGGCAACUUCUGCAUAAUCUUUGGAAACUUGUAAGAACAACAGUAUAGAUGUACUCUCUCUGUCUCUCUCUAUCUGUUAUCAGGAAAAAUUACAGGAUCUCUGAACUUUCAGACUAAAAGCAGAGCUUCAUCGACAAUUCAGAAUGAUGCAUCUGGAGUUCCAGGCAAAGACAGAUUCAGCGGAACAAAAUUAUCUUGGUGGCUAAAAGCAACCAUUGCUAAUCAAACAUCACAAUUUUCAGAAAGUGUGCAAACAGUUUAUCUGCAAAUCAUGGAAGACAUUCUGAAUGAUGCAUCUGGAGUUCCAGGCAAAGACAGAUUCAGCGGAACAAAAUAAUCUUGGUGGCUAAAAGCAACCAUUGCUAAUCAAACAUCACAAUUUUCAGAAAGUGUGCAAACAGUUUAUCUGCAAAUCAUGAAGACAUGGAACGGAACACGCGUACUAGGGAAAUGUUUUGCACUGGAAUGAAACCAGUCAAGAAAGUGCAAAACCUUUUCUCUGUGACCUGUCAACAGAAUGUUUUGCACUGGAAUGAAACUAGUCAAGAAAGAGCAAAACCUUAACUCUGUGACCUGUCAACAGAAACAGUACGCUUCAAUAGCAGGGAAUCUGAAGGGGUCAGGUUCCUCAGGUGGUUGAUCAAAGAAGCACUGUGGCUCUUUAACAUAAGGUACACGAUACGCCGGCUCGGCAUCUAAGAUGGAGGGUGCCCGGCCGUUGGGGAAGAAGUUUGUGCAAGACUACUACUGCAUAUUUUCUGAAAAUUGUGAGUAUGCAGAACAGCAAGGUAAUUUUGCUUCCAGAGCCAUCAUCUUGGGAGUAUACAGAAGAAGAAAAGGAUUAAUUCCGAAUCCGAUCAACCUCCCAAAUUGGCAAUCACUGACCAAAGUUUGGGGGUUGCACUGCUAGGGCACAGAUGCUACGGCUGCCAUUGACAUCUCCAGGACUCACCAUUUGAGUCAGCCCCAGGUAAGGAUAUAAUCUUACUGUAUCAGAAAACAGCAGUAUAUCUGUAUUCUCUCUGAGUAUCAACAAAAUUUACAGGAUCCCUGAACUGGAUUAAAGCAGCAACUUUCAGAUUAAGCAGAUUCAAUUGAACAAAAUUAUCUUGGUUGUUCUCCUUGUAGAAGCAACCAUUGCUAAUCCAACUCACAAUUUUCAGAAAAGCGUGCUAACACUGGGAUUGAAGUCACAUGGCUGGCAAAAUUCCAUAUUAUCAUCAUCAAUUUAUCGUCAUACACUUGUAUCACAAUCUUCAGAAAGUGUGCUUACCUGACUCCGGAAACCCACCAUUGAAUCCAUGCAUGGAAGCUGCAAAGUCGGAUCACAAAUGUUGAUCCCAAGAAGACCUGCCAAAGGCUAAAAACAUGCUCGAAAUUUUCUUAUAGAAUAAUAGUUUUCGCUUUUGUCUCAAACAGGAUAAUGAUUAUACUUAGAACAGGAAACCAUUCAUACUGCCAGGAUCCAUCCACAUGGGUUCACGUUCUUCCUACGAGCAGGACGGGGAACACUACGGAUAAUACUGGCAUGACUUGCUGCAGAAUCAAGACGGGGCAAAACGCAACACGGGAGACAGAUCUGACGACGAGAUGAUGAAGCGCCUAGUUGGCCCUGUUGGUGCACUCCCUUGAGAUAUGGCCCUCCUCGCCACAGUUGUAGCAAGCACGGCCACCGCCGCCGCCGCCGCCACGUCCACCGUAGCCGCCGCCACCACCGCCGUAGCCUCCUCCACCCUGGCUGCAGUCCCUCGCCAUGUGGCCCUCCUCGCCACAGGUGUAGCAACCACGGCCGCCACCGCCGCCGCUACGGCCGCCGUAGCCGCCUCCACCACCGCCGUAGCCGCCACCGCCGUAGCGGUCGCCUCCACCGUAGCCGCCGCCGCCGCCACCUCCGUAGCGGUCGCCGCCGCCGCCGCCGCCGCCGUAGCGCCCACCACCACCGCCUCCGCCGUAGCGGUCGCCGCCGCCGCCGCGUGAGCCGCCGGCGAGGGUUACGCCGCCAGGUCCGGUGACGUCGAUGGCCUUGGUGCGGCCAUCGUCGCCGGAUCCGACGACGAACUCGACGGUGGCGCCUUCGUCGAGGCUGCGGAAGCCGUCGGACUUGAUGGAGGACUGGUGGACGAAGAGAUCCUCGCCGCCGUCCUCCGGGGAGAUGAAGCCGAACCCCUUCUCGACGUUGAACCACUUCACGGUGCCCUUGACCCUCUCCGCCAUCUCGCUUGACCCGCCGCCGGACGAGGAGAACCAAAACCCUAGAAACCCUAGAUCGGUGUGGAGAGGAGGCGAGAGAGGGGUGCUGGCCGGCUGGGGUGUUUCUUUUAUGGCGUACUCAUUUUUUUGGUUGAAAGCCCACCAUGGGUCAUGGGCCUCAUGGCGCAGUCUGGCCAUAGUGACAAGCUCCAGCACUGGGCCAAAAGGCAAAUUGAUUUGGUAUGGUAAAUGUGAUUACCGUAUUGUUUUUUUUUUGCUAUAAGUUUGGUUAAAAAGUUUGAAAGUCAAAAAAGUUACAGAAAAUAUCACAAAACCACAACCGUUACAUCCAUCUUAUCACUUAACCACAACUUCUGGAACUUUUCUCCGAAAACCACAACCGAGCCUCCUAAUUGCCUUUGGCUUCUGUUAACAGCGAAACUGACGUUCCUGGCCCACAUGUAAGUGCUGACGGGGCAGCUGACGAGGCACCGGGCGAGCCAGACUCCGACCGGUCCGGUCGGUAGAUAAGCCGGGCAAUCCGCGAGCCCAUUCUGCGCGCGAAAAGCAAGUAUCAUUUCCCUCCAUUCGCGCCUUCACGGGCGGCGGCGGCGGCAGCUUGGAGCUCGCCGGUGGGAAGGAGCUCUUGCCCGCGAAGGAGCAUGUCGGCGGAACACUGCAAUGGAUAAUGAGGUGAGUCAACUCCAUACAUUUGGGGAUUAGGGUUUGGUUGAUUGGAAUUUGAGGAUUUUGGGAUUAGGGUUCGCUUCAUCCGCUUCGAUUUGGGGGAUUCGGUGCAUGCAGAGUGGAAUUGAAGGGGCUCACAUACGAAUUGCAGGGGAGUUGCCGCUUCUAUGGCAAAGUUCCUAUCGACAUUGACAAUGUGGAGUUCUGUGGUGUGGAGGUGGACACGAAGCUGAAGUGCCGCCAUGGGUUGCAGCCAGUUCGUAGGGUUGCCUUUGAGGGCACUGAUACAGGCCGACGCUUCAUCAGUUGUUGUAUUGAGGUAACACUCAUUUGCAGUAAAUGUAUGCGUGUGUAGAAGAGGUUAAUUGAUUCCAAUCUUGUUUGCUGCUUAGGAUGCUGACAGGUGCGAUUUCAUCUGUUGGUAUGAACCUGAAUGGCCCAUGACAAUGAAGAAUGCUCUUCAAGCUUUGUGGAAGAAGCUAGAUGAGAAGGAGCAGAGUAUGUACUGUGAGAUUGAUUCGUUGUUGAAUCACAUGUUAUAUGAGAAGUUGAAGGCAGAGAAAGAAAAAGAAGAUGUGGAGACUGAAAUAGCAGAAAUUGUAGCUGAAUUUGAGGAGAAGCUGCAGGUUAUGAGGACAACUGUCGAGAAGAAGAACAAAUGGUUCAUGAUUUCAGUUAGCUGCAAUGUAGUGAUGCUUGGAGUUUUAGCUUCUGUGUUUGCUCUCAAAACAUGAUGUGUAAUCUGUGUUUGCUCUCAAAUCAUGAUGUGUAAUCUGUCACAAUGAAUGUGCACUCAAUAUGUUGGCUGUUGUUUAUUAUGAAUGAAUAUCAUCUGUUUGAAUGCUUUUUGAAUGAAUAUCAUAUGUUUGAAUGAGUUUUGAAUGGAUAUCAUAUGUUUGAAUCUGCACAGUAAAUUGAGGAUGUGUGUAAUGCUAGAAUUGGGACGGAAUGAAACACAGACUUGCUAGAAUUUGGAUAGAAUGAAACACAUCAUGUCGAUAACAUGAACUGGAUCUUAAAGUGCCAUAUAAGCUUGCCAAAAUACACACAUAUUCAGUCGCUUGUACAGCCACACAACCUGGCCAAAUGCAUAUACUCGGUCACUUCUACAGCCACACAACCUGGCCAAAAUGCACACAGUCUCAGUCACUUCUACAGCCAUAAGAGGUUCACAACAACAUAACAAGUUCACAACUACCAUAAGAGGUUACACAGCAUUGUCAUCAACUCUGAAAGAAGAUUCUACCCCUGCAGUGAAGUACUCCAUCAUUCUUCCCCUUGGUUUUGUCACUCCUCCUCUUCCUCUAACAGCAGGCGUCUUUGCUGCCCUUGGAACUCUAUCUGGUGCAGACCUGGGAGCUUCAUAUGCUGGCUCUGGAGUUGUGUAGCUUGGUUUUGGAGGUGGGUAGCUUGCUAAUGGUGGUGGUGGUGUGUAGUUUGGUUCUGGAGAUGGGUACCUUGCUAGAGGUGGUUCAGUGCUUACAUCUCCUCCUGCUGAGCCUCCUUCAUCUUCUUGCCUUCUUCUAUUACUCUAAUGACAUGAAAAAGAAGUUAGUUAUGCUUAGUGUUAUAUAAAUGUGUAUAAUAGAAAUCAUUAAAUUACCUGAUGUUGUCUUUUCCUAAUCUCCAGAUCAGGCCUCAAAGGUUUGGAGCAGCUUGUGUACUUAUGGCCUUGCAAGUGACAGUUGCUACAAGUGGAAGUUGUCAUUCUCUCUUUUCCUACAGGUAUCUUAGCUUUCUCAUCUGCUCCUUUCCUUCUAUUCUUCUUACUUCUACCAGGGUGGUUCAAGAAAAUAGAUGGAUCAAUAUCAGGACUGGCUGUCUUGGUCCAUGCAUGCUUGCCAGGGACUGGAUACACAAACAGCUUGUGUUCUUCUUUGUAUAAAGGCAUUUUGAAAAAUGGGCUAACAUAGUCUAGGUGACUUCUUACUUUGUAGAUGGCAGCACAAGCAUGCUUGCAUGGCACUCCAUUCAGGUCCCAUCUUCUGCAGCCACAUGUGUGAGCUAACAAGUUAACAGGAUAACUAUGAUCUCCACUUCCUACCUGCCAUAUUCCUUGUCCAGCACACACUGGCCUGCAUGGCCUUGAUCUCUUUUUCUCCAUCUCUAACUGUUCAACAUACUUUGGACAUAUCUCCCAAUUAGCUGUUGCAGCCCCCUCUCUCUUUUGGUUAAAUCUGGCAAUUAGUUUAGUCCUAAUCCCUUCUAUCAUUGUUAUAAUAGGUUUAUCUCUUAAUGAUAUGAUGAAUUUGUUGAAAACCUCACAUAAGUUGUUGACCACUAAAUCAGUUUUACAAUUGGUGUCCAUAGCAUGUCUACACCAGUGCUUAGUUAGUAUCUUGUUCAACCAUUCCCAUGCAGCCUCAUACUCAUCUUUCAAAGCAGCCAUAGCCUCAUCAAAGUGGUGCUUAGUGUAUGCAUAACUAGCACUGUACAUUAACUUCUUUAAGUCACCACCCUUAAACCCUGUUGUCUGAUAAUUCUGGUACAAAUGCCUAAGACAAUAUCUUUGUUCACAAUCAGGAAAAACUCUGUCUAAGGCUCCAAGCAGACCCUAUUAAUGUAAUAAAGUAUUUAUGUCAGCCAUACGAAACAAUUUCAACUUUGAAUUCAUAUUUCCUACAUAUGUAUGUAUGUAGCAUACCUUGUGUCUAUUAGACAUGAAGGUCCAUCUACCAAAUGGGCCCGAAUCACCACCAAGUGCAUAUUUGAGCUGUUCCAAGAACCAACACCAGCCAGGGGUAUCCUCUUUGCCAACCACAGCAAAAGCCAAAGGAAACAAAUUAUUGUUUCCGUCCCUUCCUGAAGCUGCCAAGACUUGAGCCCCAGUGGUCAACUUGAUAAAACACCCAUCAACACAUGAUAAUAUACAUUUUUUGUUAUUUAACUAUGAAAUGUACCGGAUAGUGUUUUAAACAAUGGGACAAUAGUUUAAUGAUUUACUUAUGAAGGGCCUGCAUCCAUUUUUAAAUCCUUCAAUUUGUGCAUUCAGGCAGUAGAACAGCCCAUGAAACCUAGGAUUGAUAGCUGGCCUUGGUUGCAUCAUGGUGUGGACAAUACACCUGCUGCCUGGAUUGGUAUCAAGGACAGUCUGGAGGUAAUCUCUAAUUCUCACAUAUUGCUCCUUGUGAUUCCCUAACACCACCUCAACUGCCUUUGCUCUUGCCCUAUAAGCUGUCAAUUUUGACACUUCAACACCAUAGUUUCUGAUGGUCUUGUCAAUCAUUGCUGUUACUUUCCAAUCUGGGUCACUCCUUAUUGCCUCCUCAUAUAUCUUGCUAAGCCAGCCACUAGUGACCCUUGAUGUCUCCUAGUCUAUUCCACAGGAAUGAUUCAUUACAAGCUUUCUAAUGCACACUGUCUUCUCAUGUUUAAUUUGUGAAGCUACCAUAUAGAAUGGACAUAAUUUUUUCCUACAACGAACAAUUACUCUAUCUCUAUCAUUUCUGAGAUACUUGUAGUCUCUAGCUUGUGCAAUGUGCAAACCCUUUAGAGCACGUCUAAACUGAUGGACAUCAGUAAAGCACAUGCCUAACAUAAUCUGAUCAUAAGGCUGCUUCCUAGCUUCAUCAUACCAUACCCUAGGAGGUAACUUCUUGGCUCUACUCUUCUUCUUAAGUGGUUGCAUCAGUGUAGCUACUUCAGCCUCAUCAUCAUCACUAGAUCCCAACUCUUCUUUGAUGUUCAGAUCAUCAUCAGACAAUACAAAUACUGGGACAUCACUACUAGAACCUUGGGCUGAUGCAUCUCUCUUCUGUGUCCCAAUUGUUGAAGCUUUCCUUUUCCUUCCUGUGCUGACAGAUGCUUGAGUUUCUUGCACUGGAGCUUCAACAUUAAUUGGAACUGGAUCUGGCAGAGGCACAUCAUCUGGUUCAGCAAACAAAUCCUCAUCUUCUAUAUCUCUUUCUACAUGCAAUUCAGGAUCAUCUUUCUCUCUCUAAAUCUCUUGCAUUUUCUCCAAUGCCUCCAAGUCCACUAUAUUCCCACUGCCAUCAGGUGCAAAUGCUUCAUCUGCACUGCUAUCAUCUGAAAGUACCGACAUGCCCUCCUCAUCAAUGCUAGCAAUGCCUUUCCCUUUGUCCUUCUGCAAAUGCAAACUCUCUUUAUUCACACUCUCUUGUGUGCCAACAUCUGCUGCCUCAACAAACUCAGGUUAUCUAGUUGGCUUAAAAGAUCUCUUAGGCUUUGAAGGUGAUGGCUUCAAUUUGGGCUUCAAAGGAGAUGUACAUUUCCUAAAGAUUGUCAAGGUGACUUUCUUGACAGCCUCAUACUUCUUCACCAUCUCUUCUACCUUCUCAUUGCUAUCUACCACCUCAAGCCCAGCAAUGCCUUUGCUUUCUUGAUUCAUAUAGUACAUAUAUGAAUCCCCAAUGUAUCCAAAGGUAGAAAUCAAAUUGAGCAAGUUCUGAUAUCUCAAAUCUGUCCUGCCAAUCCUUCGUUUAACCAUGUCUAAGCCAUCAAACAGCAGGUUGACAUCCCAAACCUCAUCGUCAAGCCUACGGCAUUUGAAUGAAAAAGUAGUCAAUUCAGAGCACAAAUAACAGAAACUCGCCCCAAAAAGUACACCUAAUUCAUGUCUAACCAAACCCUAACCUCUCAACCUCUAUCAGGUCCCGAUUUACCUAACCCUAGCUAAUUCGUCACCAUUGUCAAAAUACUCCAUGACGCAGCGAUUAUUCCCACAAAUGCAAUCCACCUAAAUCCGCAACGAAAAUCACCAAAAAAAAACGUCGAUCAUCCAAAUCCCCCAACCCUUCCUCGCAAGCACAUACCAUCGCGAACAAAUCAACCGACCCCAAGAUGCGAGAGAAUCAGGAAAGAGAUCGACGGAUCUUACCAAACCCCGUCGCCAUAGUCGCUCCAGUUUAUCGACAUUGCCGCCGUAGAUCUCCAGCAGCACGCCCGGCGACGCCCAACCCGUCGUCGUCGCCUACUCUGUCGCCUUUUCAGAGAGAGAGAGAGAGAGAGAGAGAGAGCGGGGAAGGAGGGGAAUGGACUGGUUCGGUCGAACCAGAUCCAAACCCAAAUAAACCAGCCCGGUGCUCCGUCAGCACUUACACGUGGGCUAGGAACGUCAGUUUCGCUGUUAACAGAAGCCAAAGGCAAUUGGAGGCUCGGUUGUGGUUUUCGGAUAAAAAUUCAAGAAGUUGUAAUUAAAUGAUAAGAUGGACGUAACGGUUAUGACUUUGUGAUAUUUUCUCAAAAAGUUAUACAACCUGUAUUUCGGAACGAAGGGAGUGGUAAUUUCUUGUCGAUGUGCACUUGUUUGCUUAUUUAGCUGUUGGUUCCUUUCGUUUUUUUCUUAAGACAUACGGUUCAGCCUCUCAUACUACUCGGGACAGAGGUAGCAGCUGAUAAUAAAGCUCUUUAUUUAGACAGAUAUAUAAACAUAUUGCUGGAAUAUAUCAUUGAAGAAACACGUUCCACUACACCAUGUGAAAUGUUCAUAACAAAGUUCACGCAAAAUUGUUCCCUGUGACGACUGACCAGACACACACAUAGACUUCGCCCCACGCGGGCUUGGAUAAUACCCCGUUGAGCGGCCCAUUUCGCUCCCCGCCUGCUGGUGCCCACAGCCCACUGUCCGCGCGUCUUGAAGAAAACCGACGAGCCACAACCAGGCUGCCAGCCAUGACCCACUGUCUUACGGCUCAAAUUCUCGAUUCACCGCCGCCGUGGGUUCAGCCUGAACCUUGAACACUAAUAAGUAGUAUCUCCUUGCUCUCAAAAAAAAAAAGCAAUAUCUCCUGACAAUAUAGUACUCCUUCCUCUGUUCCAUAUUAAUCCUCUGUUCCAUAUCAAGUGACUUUUUAUUACAUGUAUCUAAUUUAGACAUUUUUUAGGCAUAGAUACAUCCGCAUAUUACAUGUAUCUCCUUGCUCUCUCUCUCUGUCGGGAAGAAUUACAGGAUCUCUGAACUUUCAGAUUAAAAGCAGAGCUUCGAUGCAUCUGGAGUUCCAGGCAAAGACAGAUUCAGCUGAACAAAAUAUCUUGGUGGCUAAAAGCAACCAUUGCUAAUCAAACAUCACAAUUUUCAGACAGUGUGCAAACAGUUUAUCUGCAAAUGAUGGAGACAUGAAACCGAACAAGCAUAUAGGGAAAUGUUUUUGCACUGGAAUGAAAACAGUCAAGAAAGAGCAAAACCUUUUCUCUGUGACCUGUCAAAGUUUUGAACUGGAAUGAAACCAGUCAAGAAAGAGCAAAACCUUUCUCUGUGACCUGUCAACAGAAACAGUAUGUUUCAAUUGCAGGGAAUCUGACCCCUUCAGAUUCCUCAGGUGGUUGAUCAAUGAAGCAUUGUGGCUCUUUGCCUCAAGGUACACGAUACGCUGGCUGAGCACAGAAGAUGGAGGGUGCCUGACCCUUGAGGAAAAAGCUGGUGCAAGACAUCUACUGCAUAUUUUCUGAAAAUUGUGAGUAUGCAGAACAGCAAGGUAAUUGAGCUUCCAGAGCCAUCAUCUUCGGAGUAUACAGAAGAAGAAAAGGAUUAAUUCCAAACUUCUGAUCGACCUCCCAGGCGAUCGCUGACCAAAGUUUGGGGUUGCAUUGUGAGGGCACUGUUACUAAGGCUGCCAUUGAUAUUUCAAGGACUCACCAUUUGAGUCAGCCCAGGUAAGGAUAUAAUCUUACUGUAUCAGAAAACAGCAGUGUAUCUGUGUAUCAACAAAAUUUACAGGAUCUCUGAACAGUAUUAAUGCAGCAACUUUCAGAUUAUGCAGAUUCAGUUGAACAAAAUCAAACAUCACAAUUUUCAGAAAAGUGUGCUAACACUGGGAUUCAAGUCACAUGGCUGGCAAAAUUCCAUAUCAUCAUCAUCAUACACUCGCAGUUAUCACAAUCUUCGGAAAGUGUGCUUACCUGACUCGGCAAACCCACCAGUGAAUCCAUGCAUGGAAGCUGCAAGUCGGAUCACAAAUGUUGAUCCCAAGAAGACAUGCCGAAGGCUAAAAACUUGCUCGAAAUUUACUUUUAGAAUAUAGUUUUUGCUUCUGUCUCAAACAGGAUAAUGAAAUUACUUAGAACAGGAAAUCACUCAUACUCCCAAGGAUCCAUCCACAUUACUUCACGUUCGAGCAGGACGGGGAACACUACAGAUAAGACUGGCAUGACUUGCUGCAGAAUCAAGACGGGGCAAAACGAAACACGGGAGACAGAUCUGACGACGAGAUGAUGAAGCGCCUAGUUGGCCCUGUUGGGGCACUCCCUUGAGAUAUGGCCCUCCUCCCCACAGUUGUAGCAAGCACGGCCACCGCCGCCGCCGCCGCCGCCACGUCCACCGUAGCCGCCGCCGCCGCCGCCACCGCCACCGCCGUAGCCUCCUCCACCCUGGCUGCAGUCCCUCGCCAUGUGUCCCUCCUCGCCACAGGUGUAGCAACCACGGCCGCCACCGCCGCCGCCGCCGCCGUAUCGGUCGCCGCCUCCGUAGCCGCCGCCACCCCCACCGUAGCGGUCGCCGCCGCCGCCGCCGUAGCGCCCACCACCACCGCCUCCGCCGUAGCGGUCGCCGCCGCCGCCGCGUGAGCCGCCGGCGAGGGUGGCGCCGCCAGGGCCGGUGACGUCGAUGGCCUUGGUGCGGCCAUCGUCACCGGAUCCCACAACGAACUCGACGGUGGCGCCUUCGUCGAGGCUGCGGAAGCCGUCGGACUUGAUGGAGGACUGGUGGACGAAGAGGUCCUCGCCGCCAUCUUCCGGGGUGAUGAAGCCGAACCCCUUCUCGACGUUGAACCACUUCACGGUCCCCUUGACCCUCUCCGCCAUCUUGCUUGACCCGCCGCCGUACGAGGAGAACCAAAACCCUAGAAACCCUAGAUCGGUGUGGAGAGGAGGCGAGAGAGGGGGGUCUGGGGACCUGGGGUGUUUCUUUUAUGGCGUACUCAUUUUUUGGGUUGAAAGCCCAUCAUGGGUCAUGGGCCUCAUGGCUCAGUCUGGCCACCAUAGUGAUAAGCUCCACUACUGGGCCAGGCCCACCCGACAGUUCAAAGCGUGUAUUGAAAUUUCGGCAAACACACAAGAACGUGAAGGAAAAAAAAACUUUUCACUAUUGAAAUAUGUUCCACAGCCUGUAACAAGAACGUGCCCAAUUCAUAUGAGAUCAACGCAAAGAUGGGUGCCAGCGAAGAGGGGUUAAAAUACGCCAAUCUAUAUGCACGUACAGGACAUGCACCAACAGCCGAGAUAUUGCACGACUGACACUGGACAGACUGAGGUUGCCAUCAACAAUCCACUACCAAAUCAAGCGCCGAACAAGUCUGGUAUGUAGAAGGAAAAAAUGCUGAGGAAGAAGUUGCUGAAAAAGAAGAGAUGGGCUGCGGCUUCACGGGCGGCCGGAAGCUUUCUGAAGGCAAAGGAAUCGAUCCUAGGAAGAAAUGGGAGUACGCGGAAGAGGACAUACAGCUGCCGAUAGAGGAGAAAGAAGCAGAAGAGCAGCAGAACCAUGAGGUGCUCCCAGAUGAGGUGGAGGCACCUACUGCCAAGAAGACGAAGCACACAGGAGAUGGGACACAGAGGACAGUUGAGGAGGAUGGGAGUGCGACCAGCCUUGGGGCCGCUGGCAAACUGACGGAGCUCGAUGAGCUCCGUCAGGAGCCAUGAAUUUUCUGGCCUGGAACUGUCGUGGAGGGGGGAAUACCACGACAGUUCGUGAGCUGGUACGUUUUUCCCAGAAAUUGCAGCUGCAGUUAGUGUUUUUGUGUGAGACGAGGCAGAAUAAAGAUAAAGUUAGUCGUCGCCUCCGUAAUCGUUUAGGUUUGUCGGGUUUUGCUGGAGUUGAUAGUGCGGGUACAAGUGGGGGUCUGGCACUGUUUUGGCAUGAGCAGUUCGAUGUCGAUGUUAUUUCCCUGAAUAAAAACUUUAUUGAUGUUUAUAUCCGUGUCUCCUCGGAUGCUCCUCAGUGGAGGCUGUCUUGUAUAUAUGGUGAGCCACGGACUGAGAAUAGAGGUCAGAUCUGGGCUGAGCUGUUUAAUAUGCGAAGUAAAUUUGCCCUACCGUGGUUGGUCAUGGGGGAUUUCAAUGAGGCUUUUUGGCAAUGUGAACAUCUGUCAGCGUGUCCGCGUCCUGAACAGCAAAUGAGGGCCUUCAGAGAUACACUGUAUAAUUGUGGUCUGAUGGAUCUGGGGUACUCCGGUGUACCGUCACGUAUGACAAUAGAAGAUCCGGAACCAGGAAUGUCAAGGUGAGACUUGACCGAGCUGUGGCGGAUGAUGAGUGGAGGGACAUGUUUGGUCAGGCCAGGAUUGAACAUCUGAUUUCCCUGUGCUCGGAUCACAACCCGAUCCUUGUCAGAGUGGUAGAGGAUAGAGCCAUGGGGCCUAGGAAAUUAAGCAGACAUUACGAGCUUUUUUGAGAAAGAGCUGCGGAGCUACCGGAACUAAUUUCUGAGGCCUGGAGGGAGACGCAGGCGGCAGGUGAUUUGGGCAGGAUUUUUUCCGGGCUUGAAGAGAUUAUGAGGAAACUGCAGUCGUGGAGUAAAGGCAAAUUUGGUAACAUUACAAAGGAGCUGGACACCGAGAGGGACAGAAUGUCACAGUUGUAUCUGAACAAUGCUGAUUAGAGAGAUCAGGAAGGUCAAUGACCGUAUCAAUGAGCUUCUCUACCAAGAGGAACUGCUGUGGAUGCAGAGGUCACGCAUCGACUGGAUUAAAGCGGGUGAUCGAAAUACCAAAUUCUUUCACCAAAAAGCUGUUUGGAGAGCUAAAAAGAAUAAAAUUGGGAAAUUAUGCGAUGAGAACAAUAACUGGGUUGAGGACACGCCUACGCUGGAGAAGAUGACCACGGAUUAUUUUCGAAAUAUUUUUACCAAGGACCAGAGUUUAGACCCAAGACCGAUUGUUGAAUAAAAUCUCAGAGGAUAUGAACAAGCAGAUGUGCAAGGAGUUCACAAGGAAGGAAAUUGGGGAUGCUUUGUUUCAAAUUGGGCCGCUUAAAGCGCCGGGGCCGGACAGUUUCCCAGCCAGGUUCUAUCAACGUAAUUGAGCUGUCCUUGAGGAGGACGUGGUCCAGGCUGUGUUGGGCUUCUUUAGUUCUGGCCAGAUGCCGAAGGGAGUAAACAACACUUCUAUUGUGUCAAUUCCAAAGGUUGCCCAGCCAAAAACCCUGAAGGAUUUUCGGCCCCUCUCACUUUGCUCAGUGUUGUACAAAAUUGUGGCCAAAUGUCUGGUCAACAGAUGGAGGCCGCUGUUGGAUGAGAUAAUAUCGGAGAAUCAGAGUGCCUUUGUGCCGGGACGCCUUAUCACAGACAAUGCUUUGAUCGCCUUUGAGUGCUUCCAUUUUAUCGAGCAUAGUAAUAACCAGAAUAACCAAUUUUGUGCGUACAAAUUGGACCUGUCGAAGGCCUAUGACAGGGUUGAUUGGGAUUUCCUCCGUCUAACACUGGACAAGGUGGGUUUUGCAAAGAAAUGGAUUGAUUGGAUUGUGGCUUGCGUCACAACAGUUAAUUAUUCUGUCAAGUUUAACGGCGUGCUCCUGGAGGCGUUCACGCCCACCCGGGGACUGAGACAAGGGGACCCACUUUCUCCUUUCUUGUUCCUGUUUGUGGCUGAUGGCCUUUCGGCGAUCCUGAAAAGGGAAGCUAGACUGAAUAAUAUUACGCUGCUGAAGAUUUGCAGAAGUGCGUCUGUCACAUCUUCUUUUCGCCGAUGAUACUCUGCUCUUUUUUAAGGCGGAGGCCGAACAAGCAAGGACAGUGCAGCAAGUUCUCAACAGCUAUGCUUGCGGCACUGGACAACUGAUUAAUUUCUCUAAAUGCUCCUUGCUGUUUGGGAAAGAGUGUGAUGCGGGCACAAUUCAGGAGGUUAAGAAUAUACUCCAAGUGGAUCAAGAGGGAUUCGAGGCCAAGUACCUGGGGUUGCCAACUCCAGAAGGGAGAAUGAAUAAGUUAAAGUUCCAGAGUUUGCAAGAGAAGCUUAGUAAAAAGGUGUUGCAAUGGGGUGACAAUAGACUCUCGCAGGGUGGGAAAGAGGUGAUGAUCAAAGCGGUAGCACAAGCCAUUCCUACGUACGUCAUGGGGUUGUUCAAGUUGCCUGCGGGUCUAUGUGAAGACCUAACAAAGAUUAUCAGGGAUUUGUGGUGGGGAGCGUGAAGGGGCGUGUAGAGAUAAACAAAAACUUUUCCUACGCGAACUCCCAAGAUCUAGCCGAGGUAGAAGGCCACGAGGAUUACCACUAGAAGCGUAGUUUCGGAUUAUCGAUGCGGCGCCUUGAUGCAGUGCAGUCCCUCGAUCCGAUCCAGCCGAUCCAAUCCCGCGAUCGUCGAAGUGCUGAACGUACAGCACCUCUGCCGGUAUCCACACGUGCGAGGAGGAGCUCCGGCGGCGGACUGCUAGGUCCGGUGCGACGGUUGGACUGAAUGGGGCUAGGGUUCUCAACGCAUGAGAGUGGAAAAACCGUGCCCCUUAGGCAUCCCACGCCCCUACUUAUAUACCGAGUGGAAGUGGGCUCCAGCACUUGUGGCCCAUCCACUCUGCGAGUCCAACUCGCAUUGUCAGCCCAAUUCCAGUUCGGGUCUAACCCGACCAAAUACUUGCUCCCGCACGUAAGUGUGUGACCCCGCAGGCUCAUGGCGACUUGGACACGAUUGGAGUCCGACUCUCAAUCGAUCAAUCGGUAGCGGCUCCUAGCAGAACGUGCCGACUCCCAAGUACCAUCGAGUCAUGAUGACGUACCUUCCAAUGUGACAUACGUCUUAGUCCCUUUUGCCUCACGAUAUACCUUGUCAAACUAUAGGCGAUUAAUCGUCAUCCCUUUAAUAGUUCAACUCUCUUCUCGAUCUGUGAUAUACGAUUCAUCCGACUAACUCUUAGUCGAUCGACCCGGUUAACAGUUAACCAAGUCGCGCAUGGCCAUGCUUCCCGAAUCAUAUCACUCGAGAGGGCCCAAAGAAUAUCUCUCCAGUCGGAGGGGCAAAAUCCCAUCUUGGUUAUCCACAUCACACAGCUUGAUUCUCAGUCAACCCGAACUCUGCCUUUAUAACUGCCCUGUUACGGAACAACGUUUGACAGAACCUAAGUUGGUGAUCCACAACUCGGAUUGUGCGAUAACCUCAGGUCUAAGGAUUACAUUGAUUGAGACAUGCAAAUGACGACCUACUCGUUGCAUCUCAAUAUGGGUCAGUCCGACUCGCUAAACUCUUUAGCCGAGUCCGUGUAAGCUGGAAUGACAUCACCAUGCCCAUGACAAGUGGAACCGAGUCAUCAGCCAACUUUCACAUUAGUCUAGGUUAUGUGUCCAGCACAACCACAAUGACGUAGGACAAUUUAGUAUGAACAACAUGAAUACAUAGUUCCACAAUCAAAUCACAUAUUCAAUGAUACAUAUCAGAUGUUCAAACAAGGACAACUCAAUAAUAUUUAUGAAUACAUUGGGAAUUACAUCAUACAUGAUUGCCUCUAGAGCAUAUUCCCAACAGAGCGGAGCAUGGGAAAAGGAAAACCCAUUGGGUGGCUUGGGACGCCCUGCUCUGGCCAAAGAAUAUGGGAGGGCUGGGCUUUAGAGACAUGGAAACUUUUAACCAAGCACACCUGGCCAUGCAAGCGUGGCGUUUGAUUGAUAAGCCCGAGUCCUUUUGUGCUAGAGUUCUGAAAUCUAAGUCUCAUGGAUCGCUGGUGGAUACCGUCUUCACUGGGAACGCUUCUUCCUCUUGGCAAGCGAUCGAGCAUGGCCUCGAACUGAUUAAGAAUGGUGUCAUUUGGAGAAUAGGUAACAGGCAGAGUGUGCACAUUUGGAGAGAUCCAUGGAUCCCGCGUGAUUAUGGCAGACGUCCAAUAACACCAAAGAUAAAUUGCCGACUCAAAUGGGUUUCUGAACUGAUGACCCCUGACGGCAAUUGGAACAUGGAGAUUUUGACUACUUUCUUUCCCCCGGUGGAUAUUGAUUAUAUUGUCAGGAUUAAACCAUCGCCAAGAAACGAUUGUGACUUCUUAGCUUGGCAUCCGGACAAAAGAGGACAUUUCUCGGUGCGGUCUGCUUACCAUCUUGGUCGCACCCUGGCUACUGUUGGACAGAGUUCCGGAGCUACGAGUAGUAGGCCGGAUGGAUCCAGCACAAAAUGGAAAGCCAUCUGGAAUGAGAUUGUGCCGAGGAAGGUUAAUAUCUUUGCUUGGAAGCUUGCAAGGGACGCCCUCCCCACUGAAGUUAAUUUUUGCAAGCGAAAAAUGAGGAAGUUUGCUACUAUUUGUGGUGCAGAUCAGGAGGAUUCUUUUCACGCCUUAGUACGUUGCCCCAAUGCUUGUGGUCUGUGGCAGACCAUGAAGGAGUGCUGGGAUUUGCCGGACGUAAAGGAGUGGCAGCAUUCAGGCCCUGGCUGGUUCCUGGAGGCUAUCUCCGACAAGGAUCAGGUGAAGGCUUCGAUGUUAUUCAUGCUGCUUUGGCGCAUUUGGCACGUACAUAAUGACAUCACGCAUGAUAAGGUCCUUGCCCCGGUUGAGGCAUCAAAGCGCUUCCUAUGUAGUUACAUGGAUUCCCUGUUGAUUAUCAAGCAACACCCUGAGGUUGAGGUGGUCAAGGGCAAGCAGGUGGCCUCUUAUUCUGCCAGAUCGAUGAAACAUAAAAAUCAAACUGGUCAGAAAGCUGCUACGGAUGACAGAUGGAUCCCACCGGACGUGGACUCUGUCAAAUUAAGCGUUGAUGGAUCUUUUUCGCCAGAUGAUGGCUCUGGUGGUGUUGGUCUGGUGCUACGGGACCAUCAAGGAAAAAAUCAUUAUCUCGGCCUAUCGAAAUAUCCAAUGGUGCAAUGAUGCCCUUGAGGCUAUGCUUCUGGCAUGCGAGGAAGGCCUUCGUGCGGCCAUUGGAUGGUCUGACAAGAUCAUCAUCCUUGAGUCUGACUGUGCCGAGGCCCUCUCUCUGAUUAGUGCCAAGAUACCAGAUAGAUCGCCGUAUGCCCUGUGUGUGCGGGAGAUCCGAAGACUUCUUGAUGCGCACCCAAUCAGUGUGGGCAAGAUUAAUAGGAAUCAAAAUUGUGUCAGCCACAUCCUGACGAACCUUGCUAGGAGUAAUAAUCAUACUGCUAGUUGGAUCCGGCAUGGGCUGCAUGAGAUCUUAGAUGUUGUGAUCUCGGACCGUAAUCGUUUUAACUGAUUAAUGAAGUUUCUUUUUUAAAAAAAAAACAGCCGCAUGCAUGGCUAGUUAAUUUGUCGGGAAAUGCAUGCAGAGAAGCAAAUUAGGCAAAGAUUUACUCCUUCCCGUGCGCAUUACGUUACGUACAAAACAUAACCAUCUUCUCUGGUGUCAAAUGGUGUUCAUGCAAUUAAGACUUGCAUGGAAUUACCGCUGUGUAGACUUUGGGGCUAAGCCUGCCAGGCGAAGGCGAAGAUUGAGGCGCAUUCAUGCAGCAGAAGGAUGAAAUUACCGUAGGCGCUACUCCAUUGGUCAGACAGAGUCGGUUCGUUCCUGUAUAUAAUCUGCAAAGGGGCAUUCGCUUCUACUAUCUCGUAUAUCCACCCUGAUCUUAAUUGGCAAACGGCUCCAAGUUAAAAGGUUAAUUUCUUUCUCGAUUUCAUGGCUUUCGUCUCCCAGCUGCAGCUCGCGGCUGAUCUGCCGGCGGCGAGCAUGGUGUUCACGGCCCUGCUGGCCGGCAUCUUACUCCUGCUUCUCGUCUCCAAGAAGCUCACCGGCAGCAAUGGCCGGAUCAGUGGGCUGCCGUUGCCGCCAUCGCCGCCGGGCCUGCCGGUAUUGGGCCACCUGCACCUGCUGGGCCCGCUGCCGCACCGGAGCCUGCGGGAUCUGGCCGCGAAGUACAGCCCAGUGAUCCACCUCCGGCUGGGCCGCGUGCCGACGGUGGUGGCCUGCUCGGCGGCGGCUGCCGAGGAGGCCAUGAAGGCCCGCGACCUGGCCUUCGCGAGCCGGCCCAGGCUCGCCAUGGUGGACCGCUUCUACUAGGGCUCCGGCGGCAUCGGCUUCGCCCCCUACGGCGAGCACUGGCGCCAGGCCCGCCGCGUCUGCGUCACGCAUUUUCUCUGCCCCCGCCGCGUCGCCUCCCUCGCCCGCCUCCGCCGCCAGGAAGCCGCCGCCCUCGUGGCCCGCAUCCGCCGCGCCGGCGCCGGAGACGAAGGCAUAGUGACCCUGAGCGAUAGCCUGAUCGUGUACUCCAACACGGUGGUGAUCUCCCGGGCGGUCUUCGGCGGCGACAAGGGAUUCUCGGAGCAAGGAGGGGAUAGGAUGAGGAAGGCGUUCGCGGAGAUCGAGGAGCUCCUGGGCACGGCGCCCAUGGCGGAGACGGUGCCGUGGCUCCGGUGGGUGGACGUGCUCGUCACGGGACUCGAAGCCAAGACCCGCCGCGCGUUCCAGGAGAUGGACGCGCUCCUCGACCGCGUCAUCACCGACCACCGCCAGAAACGCCCCCGCCAAGCCGCCGGAGCCGAGGAAGACGACGACGACGAAGACCGGGACUUCGUGGAUGUCCUUCUAGAAGAAUACGGCGGGAGCAGCGAGGCCGAGGGCGCCAUGAAGGGGGUCAUCCUGGACAUGCUGGCGGCGGCCACGGACUCGACAUUCACGCUGCUGGAAUGGGCCAUGGCGGAGCUCAUCAACCACCCCGACAAAAUGCUCAAGCUCCAACACGAGAUCCGCCACGCCGUCGCCCGCUCCUCCGGCUCCGCCGGCGAUGGCGGCGCCGUGACGGAGGGACACCUGCCGGAGCUGCCGUACCUGAAGGCGGUGGUGAGGGAGACGCUGCGGCUGCACCCGCCGACGCCGCUGCUGCUGCCGCGGGAGACGCGGCAGGACACGGAGCUGCAGGGCUACGCCGUGCCCAAGGGCACGCGCGUCCUGGUCCACGUCUGGGCCAUCGCCCGGGACCCGGCCAUCUGGGGCGCCGACGCCGAGGAGUUCGUGCCCAGAGGUUCCUCGGCUACGACGACGGCGACUUGCUGCAGAAGAAGGACUUUGCUUUCUUGCCGUUCGGGGCCGGGAGGAGGGGCUGCCCAGGGGUGGGGUUCGCCAUGCCGUCCAACGAGCUCGCGCUGGCGAGUUUGGUGUACAGCUUCGACUGGGAGCUGCCGCAUGGAGAUGGAGCUGGUGGGGGAAAGAAGAAGGUGGACAUGAGUGAGCUCCAUGGGCUCUCUGUGCGCCUCAAGACGCCGCUGCUUCUCGUCGCCAGACCGUAUGAUGCUGGCAGCAGGGGUGGGCAGGGGGCUGCUUAAGUUGUUAAUUGUUCCUAUGUAUGAUGAACUGGCUAGCUAGCUCGGAGUUGGUAGGAUCUAGCUAGGAUGUGCAUUGAUUUGGAAGAUUUUGUAUAAGCUAGAUCGACUCCUUCCGUUAAUAAAAAUGCAGACAAGUUGUGAGUUGAGGAGAUGAACCAUUUCAGAAUACAAGACUCUGAUAAAACACUUAUAGCAACUUGAACUUAUCCGGAGGGUUUCCGUCCUUUUCAAAAAAAAAAAAAACGUGAAAUAUGUGUUUCGUGGCAUAUUGAUUUGGUAUGGUAAGUGUUAUUAUUAUUUUUGCUAUAAGUUUGGUGAAAAAGUUUGAUAGUCAAAAAAGUUAUACAACCUGCAUUUCAGAACGGGGGAGUGGUAAUUUCUUGUCGACGUGCACUCGUUUGCUUAUUUACAUGUUGGUUCCUUUCCCUUUUUUCUUAGACAUACGGUUCCGCCUUUCACAUUAUUCGGGACGGCGGGAGUAGUUGAUAAUAAAGCUCUUUGUUUCGACAGAUAUAUAAACAUGUUACCGGAAUACAUUAUUGAAGAAACACGUUACACUGCACCAUGUGAAAUGCUCAUAACAAAGUUCACGCAAAAUUGUUCCUUUUUUUUAGAGCAGCAAAACUGUUCCUUGUGAGUUGUGACGACUGACCCGACACACACAUAGACUUGGUUACGGAUUCCGGCCCACGCGGGGUCGGAUAAUAAUACCCCGUCGAGCGGCCCAUUUCGCUCCCCGCCUCGCUGGUGCCCACUGCCCGCGCGACUUGAAGAAAACAGACGAGCCGCUGCCAGUCUGCAACGGUGGCCCACUCUCUGACAGCCCAAAUUCUUGAUUCAGCGCCGCCGCGGGUUCAGCCUGAACCUACCGGCUGGCACACAAAGCAGCAUCUCCUGACAACACAGACAGCAGCAUGAUGGGGCAUGGCACAGAUAUACGCGGAGAACAGUAUGAAGAAGUAUACGUUAGCUUACUCCGUAUGAUGUAUACAGUUUUUGAACUGUUGACAAAUGUACAUAUAUUAGCCAACUGACUGAUGUAUAUAGAGUUCCUCCAAGCCUACGAUUUACCUACUUCUGAUCUUGGUUUUGUUGUCCAUGUCAACAUGAACUGCCAUAUAUAAUGUGUGGCUAGCAGUAGAAAGUUGAACUGCCAUAUAGUGCAGUAGAAAAUAUUACGGAGUUCAGUUUCAUUUUGCACAUCAACAUUUAUUAAUGUCACACUGGCGAUUUCCGAAGUGUAAACUAAACAACAGAAAGGACAGAGAAAUUGUUCAUUGCCUUCUCAAGCUCUCUGUAAAUGUGAUCCAAAAGCAUAAACAGCACCCAGGUUAAAACAGAAUAUAUUCUCAGGCCUAAAAAGUAGGGGAACUCACUGUCAAGAAGCUCCAGAAAACCAUAGGCACUGCUAGGUUCCUUGGGACUUGGGAGUGCCAGCUUUGGACACUUUCGUUAUCUGAACAAGUAGACAGUUACAGGACAAGAAGGCAAACAAUUCAUGAAUAAAUAUAUAAGGAAUAUUUGUCGCCAGCAUGAGAAACAAAAAAUAUAGGAAUCUAGUCAGUGUUAUUUACCACAUGCAUGAGCAUGAAUUCUGCAGCAUACCAUAAGGGAAAGGAAGAAGCUUCAGCAGUAGUUUAAUAGAACAACUAGAAACUCAACAGGACUACAGGAAUGACAAGAAAGAGAAGGACUAAAAAAAAGUUAGGAAAUCAAUUAUUGUACUGACCAGUUCUACUCAUAACUAGGAUCCACACAAGGAUGCAUCCUGUUCCACAAAUACAUUGCCGUCGAACAGAUACCUAAUAGAGUAAUCUUCAGAUGUUCUGAACUGCUGGCCUUGAUGCUCACCCGUCCAGUUAGUUUGUUGUUCAUGUCAACAUGAACUGCCAUUCUUGAAGUCCUUCCCAUAGAGAACUGGGAAUCCAAGUUUGCAGCCACGGUCCAUUCUUUAUGCCACCUUACCAAGGAUGCACCAAAAGUUGCAAGGCCUUGACCCAUGGGAUAGUCUUUUUCGAGCAGGUUUGCCUCCAUAUUCAUUCCAUAUGCAGUGUCGCCAUUCAUGGACACAGCACCACUGUUUGCUACCAGGGUUAACCUAUCACCAACUGAAAGCUUGUCUUCAAACUUGGCUCCAGUCACCAUGGUGUUUCCCAAGAAAGUCAUGGACAAACCUCCGGUAGUAGCAUUCUUCUUGAUGUUCUUGAAUUUGGUCUCCCCUCUGAGAGUGUAAGCAAGCUGGUCCAUCAUGGACUGUAUGUCAAAGCCUGCAAGGGUUGAGGCAUACUCACCGUGCUUAGCUGAUAUCGAGGACUCCAAAUGAAUGGUGAAUUCUCUCUUGUCCUUGUUGACUUGGAACCACAGGGAAGCUGGAUAUGUACUGGCAACAUCAAGGCUGUGUUGGAGGCUCACGCCGUCAAACCCACAAUCAUGAUCCCAUCCCUCAGGGUUGGUAACAGCACGUACCAUAAGGUUUGGCGUAGGCUCAAGACACCGAUAACGGUACACUGGAUCAUCAGAAUCAAAUGAAGAUGGCAAGGCCCAGUCUGGCAUAGGGGAUCUAUCAAUGUCAUACUCAUCAUCAGGAUGAUUAUUGUUCCCAGGUGCAUCAUGACUAUUGCCCUCGCUCUUCUUCAUUUCCUUCAAUCUUCUGCGCUGUUCCUUCAACUGCUUCUUCUGAAGGAGCUUGGUUCGGUAGUCAUACUCAUCAAAAUACAAUGUCUGUUGCUCUUUUGAGAGGUUUGCAAUCUGUGAUUUACUUAAUGGCUUAAAGGGAGGAAGUUGAUCAUAGUCGUAUUCUUCCUCCUCUUGAUCCUCAUCCAACAAUUCCUCAAGAUCAACAUCUGAGUCCACGCUCUCAACGUUCCGAUCAUUAGCACGUCUGGGGUGCUCUCUAGAUUGCAACAAAGAUGAUAAAAAGUAAGGAAGAGAAGGCAUCUGAAUACGGAUACCAAAGAGGCUUGCAGAAGCAGCACGACGGGUUGAAAAACUCUCAAUCUCAGCGACCAUCUUCAGUGAGUAGCACAGUAGGAGGAGCAGGCGCCUCCAAAUAAGGCCAUUAGGAAGCACCUUUUCACCCUCCAUGUUUCUCUGACAAAGGUGAUGGUUCUCCACAAGAGCCACUGGAUUCUCCAUCCGAGGAUCAUUAGUUGUCUGACGGAUGCUUUGCUGAAGCGCAUGAGUCCGAUGAGUCACAGCCAUCUCAUAGUUCAUUGGAGAACCACUAGGUCCUUCAGGAGGAUCUGCUGCUGAGUGAGUGAAAGUGAUAAUGACUUUCGACCAUAUUGACAAGCCUAGCACACUGGUAAUACAUUGCAGUAGGGAUAGGUCGUUUCCACCCUGCCGUUGGGUGUCGAGCCGAUCGACAUACAAAACAACGUCAGGAGGGCAUUUCUUGAUAUACUUCUUAACAGAGCUGAGCACUUUCCUAUUUGAUUUUUCAUCCUUAAUUGUAGUCCCAAGUCCUGGGGUGUCAAUGACACGGAAUUUAACACCACCAACAACUCCAGCAAUCUCCUUCACGGAACAUGUUGCUGGUAGAAAAGCAUUCGUUUUGGAUUUAUCCUCGCCAAAGAUGGAGUUUAUUGUUGCACUCUUCCCCACCCCUGUCUUCCCAAGGACCAAUACAUUGCAGGAGAAUUCCAAGUUAUCUAUUACCUCUGUCUCAAGCUGCAAAGCCCUGUUCCAAGCAUUCUCAAGCUCAGAGGAAUGGUUUGCCAUCCUUAUGCGCCUAAAGCCUUCAACGAGACUAAGACGAUACAACACUUGUAUAGGUACCUGAUGUUCGGUGUCAUACCCCAAUCUAUACAAAAGACGCAAGUACUUGACGCGUGCCAUGUCCACUUUUGUGUAUAAUUUCUUCUCCUCGUCAGUCAUCACGCUCGCGGGGUCAGCAACAGAAGUAGAAGACACGUUCGCUGCAGGAAUGCUGACCACAGUAGGAGAUGGUUGCACUGAAUCAGAGGUUUCGACUGGAAAAACCUUGGCCUUUCCUUGUGCAGGUGAUCUGUUCGCCGCCCUCAGAAGCUCAGCUAAAGCUGCAUAAUCAAAAUGCUCAAUUUCCUUUCCCCCCAGCUCCUCCUCUUCAUAAGCAUCAUUCGCCUGAUCCUCAUCUGAAUCAUCCAAACCAAAGCGUGUGCCCUUGGAAGCAGGCAAAUCGUCCUCCAUUUCUUUUCCAAAUAUUUGUACGGAUGCAGGGUCAUCAGAAGCUUCAUAAUCAUCAUGAGUUUCCCUGUCUCCCUUAUCAUGGCCACCAUCAGAAACAAAAUGUGGGCUAUCAACAUUGGUAUGAAGCUCUGCAAGCUCAGUUGCGGCAUCUCUUGUGGCAACAUGUUCAGGACUGGCAUCUUCAACAUAUGUGAAAACCUCAUUCUUGGGCAUGUUACCUUCUGCAUCAGAGUCAUCAUUGAGAAGUGCCUUCCCAGCAUCUUCUUCCUCCAUGGAAUUCACGGCAGGAGGCAAUUCAGCAAACUCCAGCUCAGACCCUGCAAUAUUCCCCUUCGAAGCAUCCACAAUGUCACCAAUGUAAGGCUCGGUCACCACAUCAUUGACAGCUUCGGAACUGACAUCCUGAUCUCCCUGUUUAUCAUCACCCUUCAUCACAUAACCAUCUGAAACAUUUACCAAAUCACCAACUGUGGCGCCCUCGCCGUCAUCCAGCACGCUCCGGGAACUCAGGAAGCUCCCAUCCAACGAACCCUCGACGCCCACGGAGCCACCCUUGUCGCCCACAACGACGCCGCCUUCCUCCUCCAAUCCGCUCCUGGCGCCGGCGUCGAACACGUCGACGGCGGCGCUCCUGGCGCCCGCGGAGCCCUGCUGCUCCGACGACCCCUCCUCUUCCGCCGCGCCGAAAUACUCGCUCCCCUCGGACGCGUUGCCUCCUCUCCCAGUCUCCUCCGGCGUCUCGUCGGCCGAGGAGAUCGGGCCUUCGUCCGAGGGGGUCGACGGCGGCUGGGGCGGCGGGGGCACCCGGGCGACGCCGCAGAAGAAGCCGUUGGUCACCUCCUCCAGGACCUCGUCCCCGAAGUCCGCGGCGUCGUCGAACACGUCCCCCUCGUCGUCCGUCGACGACGAGAGCUGCGCGGCCACCCGCGGCGCGCCGAGCACGGCCGCGACGGUGCGCGGGGUCCCGAGGGGCGGCGGGGGCGAGGGGGAGCGGGACGAGGCGCCCGAGGAGAGCGAGGAGGCCGUGCUUGCGCUGGCGCCGUAGUCUUCGUCGUCGUCGUCGGGCGCGGAGAGCCGCGCGCGGAUGAGGAACGCCAUGCCGGGAUGCCGGUGGUGGGUGGUGGUGCGGGUCCAAGGCGGCGGGCGAGCCCCAGCAGCACUGCUAGGCGAAAUUUUGGAAUCGGAUGGCUAUAGCUUUCUUUAAUAUUUUCUUUUUUUAUACGAGUUGCAUUUUUUAUGGAGUACUACUUCUUUUUGGAUUUAUUUUUUUCUGUGGAGCAGCAAGAUGUGAGGAGGAUUCGGUUGGGUUGGUGAGAGGAGAAGAAGCUGGCGACGUGCAGGGUUAGGGUUUGGAUUCUUUCUGAAUUUCUUGCGGUUUAUCGAUUCUUUGGCCAUCAUUUAAACUGAUUUUUUGUGAUUGUGGGGGGUCGUGGUUAUGGGAUUUAUUGUGAAAUUGAAUAGUUUAUUUGUGUCCAUUAUUCCUGGUUGGAGAGUUUCGAUUCUUGGUGAGGAAGGUGACGCGUAUGAAAGGUUGAUUUUUUGGAGGUAUUUUUUUGGGAAUCGUUGAUGUUAGAACUUCUUUAUAUCUUCUGUCUAAAAAAUACUUAAGGUUUUUAUCUUUUUCAUGUGUUGUUGAACCCUCCUGUCGUCGAACUUCCCCGUUCGCCGUCGCCUGCCCCACUAGUUCACCCCGUCUUGGUUCACUUGCCUUCUUCCGCACCCCGAGUCCCUGACUCCGGCCGGCCACCGCUCCCAUGCCACCUCGUUCGCCUCGUCUUUGAUGGCUCGCCUUCCUCUGCGCCCCGACUCUGCCCGGCCGCCGUCACCAUGACAUCCCCCAUGAUCUGAACCUCGCCGCCGCCGUCGUCCCCAGGUGUUGGACUACCAGCCGAACGCCCUUGGACUCCUGAAAGCACGGCUCUCCAGUCUCCGCCCUUGGAUUUCAUUUUGCUCUUUCUCUCUAUAUAUAUCCAUUCUCUUUCAAGCAUAUGUGUUUUCUCUCUCUAUACAUUCUCUCUUAAGAAUAUGUGUUUUCUCUCUAUAUAUAUACGAUUCGGUUUGCUCUAUAUAUAUCCAUUCUCUCUCAAUCAUAUGUGUUUUCUAUAUGUAUACACCUUCGCUCUCAACAAUAUGUGUUUUUUUUCUCUUUAUUCGAUUUCGUUUUGCUCUCUCUAUAUAUGUCCAUUCUCUCAAGAAUAUGUAUUCUCUCUCUCUCUAUAUAUAUAUAUAUACAUUCUCUCUCGGAAAUAUGUGUUUUCUUUCUCUAUUUGAUUUCGUUUUACUCUAUAUAUAUUAUCCAUUCUCUCUCAAGCAUGUGUUUUCUCUCUAUAAAUAACAUUCUCUCUCACGAAUUUGUGUUUUCUCUCUCUUUAUUCGAUUUAGUUUCGCGCUCUCUCUAUAUAUAUCCAUUUUCUCUCAAGACCUUCUCUCUAUAUAUACAUACAUACAUAUAUAUAUAUAUAUAUUCUAUCUUAAGAAUAUGUAUUGUCUCUCUAUUCGAUUUCGUGGCGAAAUAGUAGUACAUGAUGACGUGGCGAGAACAACAGCGAGUAGCACACGAUGCAAUAGAUACACGAUGUACAGUGUAAAAGCUGUGCAACCAAUCAGUGCAAUCGAAAUAGAAACCAAUCGAAAUAGCAACACGUGGCUUUCACACACCUCCAAGCUACUGUGCUCACGAGAGAGAAAAGCGUAUAGACACUGCUGCUGCCGCCACACUGACGCCCGAUGUGCGGCUGGGAUAGGUGGAGUAGUAUGCUCGAGACCAACCUCGGCUUUUCCUUUCUUGGCACCUUCAACAAGGGCCACGGGGCGGAUGAAUUUGUUGAAAUCACAAGAGAUGAGGCCGUGGACCGAGCCAUACCACUCCGUGAGCCGCGUAGCUCCCAGAACCACCUUGUUAAUUCCGCAGGUCGACGGCGAGCAAGUAGCGCAGAUCGUCCGUGAUGAACUUCCACUUUUGCAGCUUCUCCUUGUACUCACCGAGCACAAUGCAGAGCACAUCCUUGUCCUCCUUGCUGAGCAUCGGGAACAUUGGCGUGAGAUCCUUUGGCAGGUCGCCAAAGCCGUCGAGCCCCCACAGGGUCUCCAGGCUCAGCUGGUGCUCCAUGUCUCCAGGCUCAGAGUUCCGGGAACCGGGCCUCCUUCAUCUCCGACCAGGCCGGGCUCCUGAUCUCGGAAUUGGGCCCCGGCCCAGUAGGCCGCCAAAGCAAGAGGACAUCCCGCUCCGGCCCGGUGUCAUCCAUGGUCAGCUUCCGCGGGAGGACGAGGGCGUAGGAGGAGGACUCGCCAUGGCCAUGUCGCGCGAUGAGGACUCGACUGCUGACCACCGGACGGUAGGAAAAUGUCUUCCGGCAGGGGGAUCAUGCGGAACGAGCCUUGGACGGAGUCGUAGACGAAGUAGCAGUGGCGGUCGUCGUGGGAGGAGGAGGCGAGCACCAUCACGUACUUGUCGACGGCGAGGAUGUAGGUGUACUGCGAGCAGCGGGGGAUGGAGAGGCAGGACAGGCUCAGCGGCGUGGCGGAGCGGUAGAUCCCGAUCUCCAUGCCGUGGAGCAGAUCGUCCGCCUCCUCCUGGCUGUAGAUCCUCGCCGGCG
This 45207-nucleotide long non-coding RNA is filed under the name Brachypodium distachyon (stiff brome). RNAcentral describes it as "long non-coding RNA (BDIS_LNC000024)". Lineage: Eukaryota; Viridiplantae; Streptophyta; Magnoliopsida; Poales; Poaceae. The record is from RNAcentral.